Molecule: long non-coding RNA, 44353 nt
Filed under: Citrus maxima (pomelo)
Lineage: Eukaryota; Viridiplantae; Streptophyta; Magnoliopsida; Sapindales; Rutaceae
Description: long non-coding RNA (CMAX_LNC003107)
Source: RNAcentral
AUGUAAUCCCAAUUCUCGUGGCUGCCUUCCAUUGCCAAUUGAACAAGCUUCGUUUUUUCUGCAUCCAGAGAAUUGCAAGGUCAAAUCUUGACAAUGUUUGUCUUGAGAAAGAGCUUCCUGAUGAAGUUUCAAGAGAAAUCAAAUCACUCCGUGUCAAAUCUAACCAGGAGUCUGAAGCUACUAUAGCAGAAGUGGAUCCUAUGCAUGCAAAAAUAGUCAGAAGAAUCCACAAGGCGCUGGACUCUGAUGACGUUGAACUGUUGAAGCUUCUUCUGGAUGUAUCUAACGUCACUCUGGAUGAUGCUUACGCUCUGCACUAUGCUGCUGCCUACUGCAGCCCUAAGGUUUUUAAGGAAGUUCUCAAUAUGGGCUUGGCUGAUCUCAAUCUUAAGGAUGCAAGAGGACGUAUGGUGCUUCAUGUAGCUGCAAGGCAUAAGGAGCCAGCAGUGAUGGUGGCCCUGCUGAGCAAGGGAGCAUGCGCAUCAGAAACUACAUCAGAUGGGCAAACAGCUUUAGCAAUCUGUCGAAGAAUGACAAGGUGAAAGGAUUAUAUUGAAGCUACAAAGCAGGGACAGGAAACUAACAAAGACCGGUUAUGAAUUGAUGUCCUUGAGAGAGAGAUGAGAAGGAACUCCAUGUCUGGGAACUUGGCAAUGUCAGCAGAAGUGAUGGAUGAUGAUUUCCAAAGGAAGCUGGACUAUAUGGAAAAUAUAGGUGAUAUUUUUUUACUGGUAUUAGUUCAUCACCUUCUCAGAGUUUGUGCAUAGCACACUUCUUUCUACUGUUUUUUUGUCCCUUCAUCUGGAAAAUAAAGGUGAUAUUCCUUUGCUGGUAUUAGUAAAUCAUCUUCUCAGAGUUUGUGAGUCCCUUCAUCAUAGGAUCUCAAACACACAUGGGCUUCUCAGAGUUUGUGAGUCCCUUCAUCAUAGGAUCUCAAACACACAUGGGCUCAUUGCUUGGAGCACACUGUUGGCCAGUCGUGUGAUUUGAUCCCUUUUUUGGAAUAGACAACUCUGAAUCCAUCUGAUCUAAGCUUGGCGGUUUGCACUGAACUGGUUUUUGAUGAAUAAUUGCACAAGACUUUGUCAUCAAAACUUUCAUUUUUUGGUUUUUUUGCCCCAAAAGUAAUGAGGUACAAAAAAAUCUAUGCCUAUCCUGGAUGAGUGCCAUAACAGCUUCUUAAUAUUUCGCAGUGGCUUGUGUACGGUUGUUUCCUUCUGAAGCUAGAGUAGCUAUGGAAAUAGCAGGUGCAGAUACAACCACUGGCCUUUCAGCAUUUGGUCGGAAAGGACUUAGUGGGAACUUAAAGGAGGUUGAUUUGAAUGAAAUGCCCUCUAUGCAAGCCAAAAGAUGCCAAUUGAGACUGCUCACUCUGCUUAAAACAGGUAUUUAUAUACUUUAUUCACUUUUGCACCUUUCUAUUUACUGAUUAUCUUUAUAAUUAAAUAAUACAUGUAUCCAGGUUUCUCCUUCCAUUUCAUUAGAAGUAAAAUUGGAAUCUCUUUAUAGUGCUCUGUUAGGUGUAAUCAGAUGUAUCAAAAGAGAAAGGGUAAUUGUUAGUACAUUGAUAACUCAACAAAAUGGUAGAACCUUUCUUUAUACCACUAAAGACAUUUGUUGCAGGUGUGCCUACAUAAUCGGUGUCCUUUAAAACUUUCAAGGAGUUAGCAAUGCCUAACCCUUGAAACACUAAAUCUCACGGGAUCAACUCUUUACCUCUAGACCGAAGGUGUGACACCCAGACCCAAUUAGGGCUUAGAACACAUAUCGAAUCUGAGCGAAACUAAAUGCUUGUAAAUCCAAAUCUCCAAAAUAUCAAAAGGUCGUCUACUUUCUCUUUUCAUGAAUUUCACAAAAUUUUGAAAAAUUUAUUCUCAAUCAUAAACUAUGCGCAGCUAAUUAAUCAGUAUAUCAGUAUACAACAAUACUUCCUCGUAAGCAAAUAAAUCUUACAAUCCUUCUUACAUGAUUUUUUUUAAAAAAAUACUUCUAUAAGUCUUCUAAAUACAAACAUAAACUGAACUCAACUGCUAAAACUAUGCCAAAAUACAAGCUUCAAUCAGUAAUACACGUGAAUAUUUAUUAAAAACAUCUAGCUACAAACCUUAUGAAAGCUCAAUCCUUCCGAAGCAUUCUUAGAAUUAAUAAUUUCUACUAUCUGUGAAAAAUAAUUGACAGGGGUCAGCUGUUAACUCAAUCCGUAGAAACAUUCAUAACGAACAAAAAGAAUUCUUUGUGCAAUAUUUUCAGAAAAUUCAUUUAACCUUUCAAAUGAAACAGAGUAAUUUUUCAAACACAGUCAGGAUUUAUAUAAAACAUAAACGUUUCAGACAAGCUUUUUGGAACGUAAAUUUUGCUUCUUUGAACAGAAAGUUAUACAUUAGUUUGAUUUUAAAGGGAGGUUAUUGGCAAGUUAAAAUUGGCAGUUGUGGUAAAAGGGUAAUAGCAGUUAUAAAAUCUCUUUUAAAACAAAUUCAAAUCAGGUUUUAAAUUUUAGGAGUACUUAAUUCAAUAAAAUAUAGAAUAAAUAAAGCUUUCAAUGAAACAAAACUAAGUAAAUUCAUUUAAAGCAAAACAGGAUGCGAGCAUUACCUAAGGGUUCUUGACCAUACUAUGUUUACCCGCAGUCACAUAUCUGGGACCUUGUUAUUUGGAGACAAGACUUGAUUGUGCCAUGUUUUCCGCAGCCAGAUAUCUUUUACUUCAUUAUUUCCUAGACAUCUGUGGAUAACAGAACCCUAAGCCUAUUGAGAAUAAAUUCUGUAAUCCAAGACUCUUCAGUCCUUUCAUUUGUGGCUAAUUAGUUAUAAAAUUUGUGAAUUUCAUGCCCCACGCCCCUUGCAAAAUGUAUUUUAUAUCCUUAAGAUGCCGGUGGAUGAACUGAAAUAAUAAAAAAUGGAAAACAGACUUAAUGUUGAUAGCAUUUCUUAAGAAAAACUUGGGAUGUUUAUAAUUUUCUUAGAGCAUUUGCUGAACUUUCUGUGAUCGCAGUCGAGACGGGUCAACGCUACUUCCCUAAUUGCUCAGAAGUGGUUGAGAAGUUUAUGUUUUUCAACCCCGCUAAUUGCUCAGAAUUGGUUGAUGAGUUUUUGGAUUGUGAUUCGGCCGAUGCUUCCCUCCUAGAAAAGGGUACUCCUGAAGUGCAGAAACUCCAAAGGGCAUGCUUCAUGAAACUUAAAGUAGAGAUGCCGGAGGCAGUCUGCAAGGACGUGGCUUAUCACCGUCGCUCAGGGCUGCCAUCAUCCUGGUCGGCAUUUUACAAGUACAUGGCUGAGAGCAAUCGUUCAGGUAUGCCGGCAUCCUCGGCAUCGAGCAAUUAAGCAUCACCUUUCCCUAAAAGAUAUAUUUGACACCUGGGACACUAAAAGAGUUUAGUGAGCUCGAUUGGUACUUGUGGAGAUACCCAGAGCCUAUGUUACGGCUAUGUAUUGUCAAGUAGCAGAGAAAUUUUAAUGAAUGAUGGAUGAUUUUCUUGUGACUCUUUUGGUAACAAUCAUGUAACGAUUUCAGUAAUGUUAACAUUAUCGCAAUUUUCUUUUUCUUCAAGUAAUCUGGCAUUUAUCAAUUAGGUUGUAGAAUUUAUUAUAUUGUCUGGAGUCACACGAGGGAAAACUUUAGGUGCAACUGUGGUACCGUGCAACAGUAGCAUCCAGCCGUUAGAUGUCAGUGGACCCCAUCAAUCUAAGUGCAUCCAAUCGCUAGAUGCAACUGUGGCACGGUGCCACAGUUGCACCGUAGCCUGUGUCACACGAACGCAUAACAUUGAUGGAAUGGAUCACGUUAUCAUGAACGUAUAAUUAACAUCAGUUGCUGAACAAACUUUGCCUUUCAAUUUUGUAGACAUUACUAUCUCAAAUUUUCUAUUAUCAUAAAUGAGAUUUUAGGUAAUCUUUAAAAAAAAAAAACUAGAGAUUUCUUUUAUUUUUCCUUAAAAAAUGAAGAAAAAUUUAGAAAGUAGUGAGAGACGGAGAAUUAAAGCAAUUUUAUUCACAAAUGUAAUGUGCUUGGAGUAGCAAUACAAACUAACAAAUUAUAAUUUAUGAGAUUAGUUUACAAAAUCUUAUAUAUAAAAUUAUAUCCUCUAAAUAAAAAUAUUCUCACCUCUUUGGACUUAUCAUUUAUGAUGCGUUUGAGAUUGAGGUGCUGUAACUUUUAAACUACAGUUGCUGUGGAAAAAAUAUUAUAAUUAUGAAAUAAAAGUUAGUAAUAUUUAAUAAAUAUAAAUUUAAAUAGUAAUUUUGACAAAUUUAUUAAAGAUAUAAUAGAUUUUCUAUCAUACAAGUGAAAAAUCAUAUCAGCAUAGCUUCCAAGUUACAACAAUUAGUGUUUACCAAACAUUUUAGUACUGUAGUUUAAAGUUGCCCAACCUCAAUUCCAAACACACCCUUAGAUGCCCUUUCUACAAUCUCUCUAGCGAUAAACACAUUUUUAUAAAAUAAAACAAAAAAAAUUAUAUAUAAUUGUCAAGAGGAAUCUUACUAAAAUGGUCUCUCAUAAAUUUUUCUCUAAUUUGAGAGAUAGUGGGGAGUGGGGUUAAAGUGCAUCAACAUAGAAUUAAAAUUUUUUUUUUAAUUUUUUUAACUAUUUUAAUUAAAAGUAGCAGUUAUUCUUUUUAUUAUUGUUAUUCCAAUUAUCUAAAAAUCAAGUAACUGGGGAUCAAAUUAAGUAGUUCAUUAAAUUUUUUAAAUGACGUAUGAUAUGGUGUAUGGAGUUUUUAUACAUCUAUUUAAAUAGUAAAAUAUUUAAUUUUGCUUGUCGUAAAAUUUUAAUUUACGUGGGUUAAAAAAGAAAAAAAGAAAAAAAGAAAAAAGAAAUUGACUUAACAAUUAUUGAAAGACUAAAUAGAAAAUUGUAGUUGCGUGGGAAAACUCUGGGGAAAAGGGCUCCUGAUUUCCUUUCCCUGGCUUCGUGCGUCUCCUUUUGCCCUUUCGAGCACGAUUGCACGAAUUCGAAUCCAAUUCUUGAUAAUAAAGAUAUAAUAUUAUUAUAAUGCUAAUAAUUAACAUUAAAAUAUUAAAAAAUAAGGGAAAAAAAAUCCAAAUUUUUACUGGUAUAUAACUCAGAGCCAAAGCGAUGGCGAAACAUCAAAUUGUUUUUGUUUCAACCUUCGCGCAACUUCCGGUGACAUAAUCUCUGUCUGUUUCAGGUAAAUACCCAAAACUAAACUUUGCAUGUAUUAUUAUUGUAUUUUUGUUAUUCAUUCACAUAUUCUUCUUUUCUUUUCUUUUUUUCUUUUGCUGUAAGUUUUUAUGAGACACUCUGUUUCAGUUCUGUUUCUGGUUUUGUUUCAGUUUAACAUUAUUGGUUCCGUUCGGUUCUGUUCUGCUCUGUUCUCUGUUGUAUGUAUAUAUGUAUAUAUUUUUGGCCUCGAAUUGCUUUGAUCACCGGUUUUGUUAUUCAUUUAUCCUGAAUUUUAGAUACCCGUAAAGCUUGUUUGGCCAUGUGUUCACUUGAUUGUUACAUUCAGCUGUCAUUUUCAUGGUGGGUUUGUAAGAUAGUCUCUGACUAACAUAUGGCAUUGAUUAUGAAUGACGGUUUUUGUUAAAAGUCAUGGCUGGCACCGGCCAUCUAGAUGGCCGGUGCCAACCAUUCAACCAUUCAACACGGCCCGCCAUUAUUGGUGGUGCCGUGUUGACUUAUUCUAUAAAAAAAAAAAAAAUAAGCCAAAAUUUUGGCUAUAUAAAGAGGGCUUCCCACCCUCAUUUUUCAUCCAAUUCCAUUGAGAGAGAAGCAUUGCUUUCUUUGAGUGUUGAGAGUUUUAAGAGUUUAAUAAACUCUUGAGUGUUUAGUGUUUUGAGAGUUUGGGUGUAUUGGGAUUUUGGGAAGUGAGCUAAAAUACUACAAUACUUGUAACUCCUUUUCACUAGUAAAAUAUUUCCUUCUGUCUUCGCCCGUGGACGUAGGCUAAAAGCCGAACCACGUAAUUUUCUGGUAUUCUCUUUUAUGCUUUUUCUUUAUUUUUCUUCUAAUUUUACUUUAGCUGUGUGUCUGCUUCACCCACCAAUUUCCUAACAGUUUUUUGAGAUACAUCACACCGCCGUUAACUCUUUUUAAUGUGUACUUAUGUACUUACUUCAUUCAAAAGAUUAGUGUUUUUCUCUUUUUUUUUUUUAAAAUGAAAUGCCCCUUUUCGCAUUUUAUAGGUGAAAGGAAGAAACAUAAUAUCGCAGAACUAGAAUAAAGGAGCCUAUUCCGGUACCUAUUGUCCAAGGAAACUUCUGUAUAUUCUGUAGGAACUACCGAACUACCAUGGAAGUCAAAUCUUACCAGAGCCAGGCGGAGUCGUUGCUGAAGGAAUAUAUAUUAGCAGAUCCAUUUGUCCCUUACAGUUCAAUUGCUGGUAGCAUUUUUGCAUGCAAGACAGUAUGUUUUUCAUCGUUACUGCAUGGUGUUAUUUACUAGAAAAUAUUUUGAAUGCGUAGUUUUUAUGUAAUUAGUUAUAAAUUUUUAUAUACCUUUUUUUUUUAUAAGAAUGUGUUCCUUUUCAGGUCUAUGAUCUUGCCCAAUUGAUUAGUGCUGUCCACUUUAAAUGUUAUUCCAGUUUCUCCAGCAUACAGCGGGUUGAGUGGAGUAACAGGUGAUUGAAUAUUUUCAUUUAGUUCAAUUGUCAUUUCUUUUUCAAUCGGUAAAGUUUAAUCAUUUUUCUUAAAUCGACAACUUAUGCAGGGCCAUAUCAACCGUCCAUGCCAUUUUUGUUUCAGCUAUGUCUUUGUACUGUGUGUUUUGGUCGAAUAUAAGAGUUUGUACAUAGCACACUUGUUGUUUGUUUGUCCCUUCAUAGACAUUUCGAUAAACUGUUAUUUUUGUUUGUCGGAAUUGAAUAUUUUCCACAACUAGAACUCCGAAGUAUCUGGAAUGAUCCAUUUUAUCAUUCUCAAUACCUAUAAAAGAAGGACAUAGAAAACAGUUUCCAAAGCAAGUUGCCUAUGUUUUGAAUUUGUCUUUGGAAGCCACUAAUUGCUUGGAGCACACUGUUAGCCAGUCGUGGUUCCAUCCACUUAUUUGGAUAGACAAUUGUGCAUCCACAUGAUCUGGAAUAAACUAGUUUUUAAUAAAUAAUUGCCCAAGGAUUUAGUCUCAGUGUUACAGCCCAGUCUUUGUUGUCAAUACUCUUUCCCCUGUCGUGGAUGAGCGUCAUAACAGCUUCUUAAUGUGCAGUGGCUUUUGCACGGUUGUUUUUUUUCCUGCUGAAGCUAGAGUAGCUAUGGAUAUAGCAGAUGCAGAUGCCAUCAAUUUUUAUACUGGCCUUUCAGCAUCAAAAUCAAAAGGAUCAAGUGGGAACUUAAAGGAGGUUGAUUUCAAUGAAACACCCUCUAAGCAAGCCAAGAGACUCCAAUUAAGCCUGCAAGCUCUGCUUAAAACAGGUAUUUAUAUACCUUAUUAGUUUUUGUACCUUUACAAUUAGCGAUUUUUAUAUCAAACGAGAGAGGUUAAUCUUAGUACAUUGAUAUCUCAACAAAAUGUUAGAACCUUUGGAGCACUAGAGACAUUUUCUUAGAGCAUUUACUGAAGUUUCUAUGAUUGCAGUGGAGACAGGUCGACGCUACUUCCCUCAUUGCUUAGAAGUGGUUGAUAAGUUUUAGGAUUGUGAUUGGUCCGACGCUUCCCUCCUAGAAAAGGGUACUCCUGAAGAGCAGAAACUCAAAAGGGCACGCUACAUGGUUGAGAAAAAUCGCUCAGAUUUGUCGUCAUCCUCGUCGUCGUCAUCUUCUCCAAAGGAAGGAGUAAAGUGUAAGGGUAGGAAAAUGUGUUGCUUAGCUGCCUGUCUUUGUAUCCAUUUAUAGGCAACUAAAAGAGUUUUAGUGAGUUUGAUUGUUACUUGCAGAGAGAUACUCUUCGAGCCUAUGUUAUGGCUAUGUUGCAUAAUAGCAACAGAACUUCAAGCUUGCGUUGUUGUAUUUUCCCAGAUAUUUGGCAUGUAAUACACUAAAUGACAAAUAAUUUUCUAAUUUUAGAGGGGAAAGUUAUGUCAGUUAAUUAUUUAUUUAUUUUGUCUGUUUAAUUCAGUUUAUUUUUUCUCCAAAAAAAUCUUCAUAUCUCCAUCUGCAAUUUAAGUCAUUUGUAACUUCUUUCAGGGAGGAAGGAAAAGGGAAAAAAGAAGAAGCCUUUGUAAGUAUAUUUUACAGUACUGAUUUUCCUAUAGAAAUUGGUUAAGGUGACAUUAAUGUUCUUAGUAACAGAUGGAUAUGCAGAAUUUUCGUCGAAAUUGAAAUUAGAAAUGGAUGGAUAUGAAUGACAUAUAUUCAGAAUUUUUUAGUAGAAUGUUUAAACAAAAUUUUUUAGCUCAUUACUCUCUAAAAGGAAAAUAAAUUUUUUAUUGUAAAUAUUAAAUAUUAAAUUUAUAAUAUAAUAAAUGUGUGACUUAAGGUGCACAAUACCUAUAUAAUAAUAAUAAUUAAGACAAGAAAAAUCAAAUUUUGUAAAUUACCAAAUUUCCCUUGGAAUUUGAUAUUCUAUAUGAACGUAGGUGUUGCAUCCACUGGGUGAGUACAACUGAAAGAAACUAACUAAAGUAAAACAAAAUAUCAGAAAAAUAUGGCGAGCUUCUCAUAUUUUUUAAGUGAAAAAAAAAAAAGAAAACUGAAAUUAAUUAUUUUUAUACCCAAAUUCUCAUGCUCGAAGGCCGCUGGAAUUGGCCAUUGUAAUUUUGUCAUCCUCGUUAUUCACUGGCCAUCGCAGCCUUCCUCCCUUAAAAUGAGAGUCGUUUUUUGGACCACGACAUAAUAAAAAUAGUAUUGAUUAAUACUAAUAAAUUUCUUUUUGAUUAUUUUGCAGUGUGAUAGUCUAGUGCGUGCCAGUGCCCAGCAUAUCACUUGAACAUGUGGUAAAAUUCUGCGAGUCUUUGUAAAAUAAUUUUUAAAUUGUGUAUUAACCAAAUAGCUCAAUGAAGAGUAUCGCUCAUUAUUUUAUUUUGUAUAUAUUUAUGAUAAUUGUUGAAAAGAAAAAUGUAAAGUGAGAUUCAUGAACAUUUAUGAAUGUGGAAAUUAACACAACCAGAAUUUAUGAUGAAAUAAUUUUAAGUCAAACGAGUGUAAGUUUGUAUAUAUAUUUUUUUGAAUUGUCAUAUAUAUACAAGUUUGUCACUAACAGUAAAUUAAAUUAUGAAUAAUUUAAUAAUUCAAAAUCUCAUUUAACCAUCAGUGUUUAUAGGGUGCGUUUGGCACAUUGUAUUGUAUUAUAUUGUAUUAUAUUAUUUUAAUGCAUGUGUAUUAUAUUAUAUUGUAUUACAUUAACAUUGUGUUAUAAUAAUACUAUACAAUGUUUGGUACUACAUUGUAUUAAUUUUUAAUAAAUAUAUAAUAUUACACUGUAUUAUAUUAAUUUUUUAAUAAGUAUUUUAAAUUAUAUAUUUAGAAAAUAACAUUUAUUAGUCGUUAAAAAAUACUAAAUAUCAAAUUCUUAAAUUUUAGAAAUUUAAUAUUAUCUUUCUGGUAUAAACGUUGAAAAAAAAUCAUAAUUUUCGGAAAGAUCGAAAUAAAUAAUUCAAUCAAGUAACCUUCAAUUUUUUUGUUUUAUUCUUAGAACUUCAUAGUUCUUUUGUUUUUUCUUUUUCUUUUUCUUUGCCUCUAUUUUCUUUUUCUUUGCCCUUUUUUUUUUCUUCAUAGUUCUUUUGGCUUCAUAAGUUUCUUUUAACUGAGUUAAUAGGGUCGUUAGGUUAAACUAAGUUUGGCUUCAUAAGCUUCAUGGUAGAGUGUAGAAUUGGGCACAAUUUUGGAUUAGACAAGUCAAAGGUCUUAUCAAGUAAUUGUUCUGCUUACUGAUUUGGUAAUUGCAACAUUGCUAAAUAGUUCAAUUUGUCCUUUUUAUUUUGUUGAAUUUAUUGUAUGUCAUAUUACUUGAUUUAAUUAUUUUCUCAGAUCUUGUAGGUGAAAAUUUCAGCUUCAAAGACCAAAGCUAAUCAUCCAGCAAUUCAGUGAAACCAAGACACAGUAGGUGCGUUUGGGAUUGAGGUGCUGUAGCUUUUAAGCUACAACUGCUGUAAAAAAAAAGUUGUAAUUAUGAAACAAAAGUUAAUAAUAUAUAGUAAAUAUAAAUUUUAAAUAAUAAUUUUGAUAAAGUUAUUAAAGAUAUAAUAGAUUUUGUAUUAUACAAGUGAAAAAUCAUAUCAAUAUAACUUAAAAGCUACAGCAGCUAGUGUUUACUAAACAUUUUAGUGCUGUAGCUUUUAAGCUACAGCUGCCCAAUCUCAAUUCCAAACGCACCCAGUGGCUCAUAAAUUGUUGUUGGUUAUUGAUCCCAGCCAUUCGGGUGCUCGCCAGUCCUAGAUGAGAAAACUUUCAACGCGGCGCAUAAAUUGCUGUUGAUCUGCUUUAUAUAUUUUGACGUUUGUGAUUUGUGAAUACAUGGUCUGAUUCCAGUGUUUACAACUUUGAAAUUCAAUUAAAAGUUGAGCUGUGAAAGAGUGUGUUGUAUAACUUGAGAAGCAAAUGAAACAAACAGAAAAUGUGUUUUUAUUUUUUUAAUCUAUCUAUCUAUUUAUUUUUGGUUUGGAAAUGUAACAAUUUAUAGCUGACAAAGUAAUAGAGUUGUAUACUUUUACUUGUAUUUAAUUUAUUGUUAUUAUUAUUUUUUUUUAAUGACUCGGUAAUGUCAUCGUCCGUGGUGUUUUGUCAUUUCGAAAGUACUUAACCCUUCCACGAUAAGUUUGAGCUUUCAGUUCUUGAUUUAGCGUGUGGGGUAUCUUUGUCUUUUCAGUAGUCAACACACGGUCAACAAAACAGUCUACAAACAAUCGACCUGUGAACUUGGGUCAAAGCUUUCAUCUUUAAAUCACAUAGGUAGAUCAUGAUUCAAGCUUCAGUUAUAAGCAUUUCGUUGUGAUUGAUAGUAUUCUUUCUUUGAUAUAUAUAUAUAUAGAUUCAGUUUGAAUAUGGUUCUUGAUGGUAUCAUGGAAAAUGCGAACGAAAAGUCAGCAUCUUUGAGUUUUGUCUCAUCAUAUCAAACUUGUUGGUCCACUAAUCAAUCAACAGGCACUUGUGAUCUUGAUAAUUUGAACUUAAGGAAGCAAAGCACCAAUCCCAAAGAGACAUGGCUUGAAGCUGAGAUUGUUGUUGAGGGCAAAUCAGUGGCGGUUAAUCGCAGCAUAUUGUCUGAGCGCAGUCAAUUUUUUCGUCGGCUUUUUAAUUUGAGAAAUGAUGGUUCUGUCAGUGAGGGGAAACCCAAGUAUCUUUUGACUGAUUUGGUGCCUCAUGGGAAGGUUGGAUAUGAAGCUUUCAAUGAUACCUUGCAUUUUCUUUACACUGGGAAGCUUAAGCCAUCUCCUCUAGAAGUUUCCACGUGUGUUGAUGACGCUUGUGCUCAUGGUGCUUGCCCUCCUGCUAUCAAUUUUGCUAUUGAGAUGAUGUAUGCUUCUGCUGCUUUCCAGAUGGAACAACUCGUUGUUUUGGAGGUAAUUGUGCUUCCCUACUAUUUGUAUUGAAUAAACUUAUGCUUCUUGGUAUAGUUUUAGCAUAUAUGGGAUUGAAAUCAAUUUCAGUUGUGAAGCAACUUCGGUGGUUCCCAAUAUUAGGCAUUGUAGUAGAUCCAAAAUUAGCUUGUUAAGAAGUGUAGAUACCGGAGAGCCCAAAACUUCGUCUUAUCUUGCAAGAGUCUGUUGUUUUAUUUUCAAAGAGACAAAAGUGAUGAUGAUGGGCAGCGAACUCUAGGAAUCAAUGCUUGCUGACACUGACUCCCAAGAAUGAUAAAAACUAACCAAAAAGGUAUAGAUUACAUGAGUCUGAAUUUGAUAAGUGCGCCUAUCCUAUCACAAAAGCUUUUGCGUUGAGUUUCUAACCAAGGAAAAUUGUCACUUCUUUCUGUAGGCUUCAUAGAUUUGUUCAAGCCUUCAAGGAUGUCUAGCUGUUACUUACUGUCCAACAAUGGUGCUACAUUUCUAGUGAAUGAUAUGUUAUUCUACAUCUGUAUAUUGCAACUUUGACAAACUUGGCCUUUCCUUUGUUGAUUCACUCGUCUCACUUUUAUUAAAUUGCCCGAUUAUGAAAUGGUCUAUUGGAGACUAGCAUUGGAAGGUUUCUUCUGGAAAAAAUUUUACUUGACCGCCAAUUUUCAUUUGGGUGGGUGUCAGUUCAUGCUCUGGCUUGACUGUUCUGUUAUUUAGGUUGUUUUAUCCGUAUUUUCUUCACUUACUUGAUGGUUAGUUCUCUCAUGCUUUCAAGCUCUCAACAGUGAAUGCGAGAGAUUCUAUUUUUCCCGUCCAGUCUAUAACCUAGCAAAUCAUUAAUGCUGUAGAAUAACAUCUUGUGUAGGUGAGCUUAUGUCUCUGAACAUUGGUCCAUCGGCAUUUAGGUUCAAUAAGCAUGACACUGAUUUCCCCCCAAUUAUUAUUUUCCUGCACAGAUUAUCCCCUUUAAGUAUUUGAAUUUUGAAUAUAUUAUUAUGCAUCAAAACUGUAUCUAUCCGUGUAGCAUUUAAAUCUGCUUUAUGAUGUUUACCAAUAAUUACCCAUUAUGGGGUAUUUGAAUUUUGAAUAUAUUAUUCUGGACCAAAACUCUAUCUGUCCGUGUAGGAUUGGCUUCUGUGCUUGGCUGAGGAUGCUCCUGUGGAAGAUGUAAUCCCAAUUCUCGUGGCUGCCUUCCAUUGCCAACUGAACAUGCUCCGUUCUUACUGCAUCCAGAGAAUUGCAGGGUCAAAUCUUGACAAUCUUUGUCUCGAGAAAGAGCUUCCUGAUGAAGUUUCAAGAGAAAUCAAAUCACUCCGUGUCAAAUCUAACCAGGAGUCUGAAGCUAAUAUAGCAGAAGUGGAUCAUAAUCAUGCAAUAAUAGUCAGAAGAAUCCACAAGGCGCUGGACUCUGAUGACGUUGAACUGUUGAAGCUUCUUCUGGAUGUAUCUAAUGUCACUCUGGAUGAUGCUUACGCUCUGCACUAUGCUGCUGCCUACUGCAACCCCAAGGUUUUUAAGGAAGUGCUCAAUAUGGACUUGGCUGAUCUCAAUCUUAAGGAUGCAAGGGGACGUACAGUGCUUCAUGUGGCUGCAAGGCGUAAUGAGCCAGAAGUGAUGGUGACUCUGCUGAGCAAGGGAGCAUGCGCAUCAGAAACUAUAUCAGAUGGCCAAACAGCUGUAGAAAUCUGUCGGAGAAUGACAAGGCGAAAGGAUUAUCUUGAAGCUACAAAGCAGGGGCAGGGAACUAACAAAGACCAGUUAUGCAUUGAUGUCCUUGAGAGAGAGAUGAGAAGGAAGUCCAUGUCUGGGAACUUGGCAAUGCCAUCAGAGGUGAUGGAUGAUGAUUUCCAAGCGAAGCUGGACUAUCUGGAAAAUAGAGGUGAUAUUUCUUUACUGGUAUUAGUUCAUCACCUUCUCAGAGUUUGUGCUAUGCACACUUCUUUCUACUGUUUGUUUGUCCCUUCAUAUGGAAAAUAGAGGUGAUAUUCCUUUACUGGUAUUAGUAAAUCAUCUUCUCAAGAGUUUGUGAGUCCCUUCAUUUUAGCAUCUCAAACACACAUGGGCUCAUUGCUUGGGGCACACUGUUGGCCAGUCAUGUGAUUUGAUCCCCUUUUUUGGAAUAGACAAUUCUGAAUCCAUCUGAUCUAGGCUUGGUGGUUUGCACCGAACUGGUUUUUGAUAAAUAAUUGUACAAGACUUUGUCAUCAAAAACUUUUUUUUUUGUUUUUUUGUUUUUUGUUUUCCAAAAGUAAUGAGGUACAAAACAAUUUAUGCCUAUCCUGGAUGAGUGUCAUAACAGCUUCUUAAUAUUUUGCAGUGGCUUUUGUACGGUUGUUUCCUUCUGAAGCUAGAGUAGCUAUGGAAAUAGCAGGUACCGCCACUGGCCUUUCAGCAUUAGGUCAGAAAGGACUAAGUGGGAACUUAAAGGAGAUUGAUUUGAAUGAAACGCCCUCUAUGCAAGCCAAGAGCCGCCAAUUGAGACUGCUAACUCUGCUUAAAACAGGUAUUUAUAUACUUUAUUAACUUUUGCACCCUUCUAUACAUGUAUUAGUUAAUUAUAAAGAUAUUUAUAUACUUUAUUAACUUUUGCACCCUUCUAUUUACUGAUUAUCUUUAUAAUUAACUAAUACAUGUAUCCAGGUUUCUCCUUCCAAUUGGAAUUCCUUUAUAGUGCUCUGUUAGGUGUAAUCAGAUGUAUCAAAAGAGAAAGGGUAAUUGUUAGUACAUUGAUAUCUCAACAAAAUGGUAGAACCUUUCUUUAUACCACUAAGACAUUUGUCGCAGAUAUGCCUACAUAAUCAGUGUCCUUCAAAACUUUCAAGGAGUUAGCAAUGCCUAACCCCUGAAACACUAAAUCUCACGGGAUCAACUCUUUACAUCUAGACCGAAGGUGUGACACCCAGACCCAAUUAGGGCUUAGAACACAUAUUGAAUCUGAGUGAAACUAAAUGCCUGUAAAUCCAAAUCUCCAAAAUAUCAAAAAGUCAUCUACUUUCUCUUUUCAUGUAUUUCACAAAAUUUUGAAAAAUUCAUUCUCAAUCAUAAACUAUGCACAGCUAAUUAUUCAGCAUAUCAGUAUAGAGCAAUACUUCCUCAUAAGCAAAUAAAUCUUACAAUCCUUCUUACAUGAUUUUAAAAAAAAUACUAAUAGAAGUCUUCUAGAUACAAACAUAAACAGAAUUCAACUGUUUAAAACUAUGCCAAAACACAAGCUUCAAUCAGUAAUACAUACGACUAAUUAUUAAAAACAUCUAGGCAGAAACCUUACGAAAGCUCAAUCUUUCUGAAGCAUUCUUCAAAUUAAAAAUUGCUACCAUCUGUGAAAAAUAAUUGACAAGGAGUCAGCUGUGAACUCAAUCAGUAGAAACAUUCGUAAUGAACAAAAAGAAUUCUUUGUGCAAUAUUUUCAGAAAAUUCAUUUAACCUUUCAAAUGAAACAGAGUAAUUUUUCUAACACAGUCAGGAUUUAUAUAAAACACAAACGUUUCAGACAAAAGCUGUGCGGAAUGUAAAUUUUGCUUCUUUAAACAGAAAGUUAUAUAUUAGUUUGAUUUUAAAGGGAGGUUAUUGGGAAGUUAAAAUUGGCAGUUGUGGGAAAAGGGUAAUAGCAGUUAUAAAAUCUGUUUUAAAGCAAAUUCAAAUCAAGUUUCAAAUUUUAGGAGUACUUAAUUCAAUAAAAUAAGGAAUAAAUAAAGCUUUCAUUGAAACAAAACUAAGUAAAUUCAUUUAAAGCAAAAAAGGAUGGGAGCAUUACUAUGGGUUCUUAUGUUUACCCGCAGUCAGACAUCUGGGGACCUUGUUAUUUGGAGACAAGACUUGAUUGUGCCAUGUUUUCCGCAGCUAGACAUCUGUGGAUAAGAGAACCCUAAGCCUAUUUAGAAUAAAUUCUGUAAUCCAAGACUCUUCAGUUCUUUCAUUUGUGGCUAAUUAGUUAUAAAAUUUGUGAAUUUCAUGCCCCAUGCCCCUUGCAAAAUGCCAGUUGUUGAACUGAAAUAAUAAAAAAUGGAAAACAGACUUAAUGCCGAUAGCAUUUCUUAAGAAAAACUUGGGAUGUUUAUAAUUUUCUUAGAGCAUUUGCUGAACUUUCUGUGAUCGCAGUCGAGACGCGUGACCUCUACUUCCCUCAUUGCUCAGAAGUGGUUGAUCGCUUUUUGGAUUUGAACAAUCCUGCCACCCCAGAAAUGGACGACGAGAAACUUAAAGCAGACAUGCAGGAGGCAUUCUGCAAGGACGUGGCUUAUCACCGUCGUUUAGGGCUGCCAUCAUCCCGGCCGGCAUUUUACCAGUACACGGCUAGGAGCAAUCAGUCGGCAUUUUACAAGUACAUGGCUGAGAGCAAUCAGUCGGCCAAGUACGUGGCUGAGAGCAAUGGCUCAGGAAUGUCGACAUCCUCGGCAGCGCGCAAUCUAAAAGUUAUAUUUGACACCUGGAAAACUAAAGGAGUUGAGUGAGAUCGAUUGGUAUUUGUAGUUUCUUUUUUUUUUUCCUCAAGUGAUCUGGCGGCAUAAUUAAAAGUUAUAUUUGUUUGUCUUCAAAGUUAUUGUAUUGUCUCAAGUCCGGUAAGAUGCGCGAACUUAUAGCAUGGAUCCAUAUGAUCUGGACUAAACUAGUUUCUAAUAAAUAAGUAUAUUUUACAGUACUGAUUUUCCUACAGAAAUUGGUUAAGGUGACAUUAAUGUUCUUUAUGAUAGACGGAUAUACAGAUUUUUCGUCGAAAUUGAAAUUAGAAAUGGAUGGAUAUGCAGAAUUUUUUAAUAGAAUUUUUAUACAAAAAUUUGUAGCUCAUUACCCUCUAAAAGGAAAAAAAUAAAUUUUUGAUUUUAAAUAUUAAAUAUUAAAUUUAUAAUAUAAUAACUUUGUGAGUUAAGGUGCACAAUACCCAUAUAUUAAUAAUUAAGAAAAGAAAAAAAUUAAAAUUUGUAAAUUACCAAUUUUUUCUUGAAAUUUGAUAUUCUAUAUUAACGUAGGUGUUGCAUGGACUGGGUUAGUACAAUUGAAAGAAACUAACUAAAGUAAAACAAAAUAUCAUUAAAAUAUGGCAAGCUUCUCAUAUUUUUUAAGUGAAAAAGAGAAGAAAACUAAAAUUAAUUAUUUUUAUACCCAAAUUCUAGUGCUUGAAGGCCGCUGGAAUUGACCAUUGUAGUUUUGUCAUCCUCAUUAUUCACCGGCCAUCGUGGCCUUCCUCCAUUAAAAAAAUAAAUGACCAUUUUUUUGGACCACAACAUAUUAAAAAUAGUAUUGAUUAAUACUAAUAAAUCUCUUUUUUGAUUAUUUUGCAGUGUGAUAGUCGAGUGAGGGCAGUGCCCAUCGUAGCACUUGAACAUGUGGUAAAUUUAUGCCAGUCUUUGUAAAAUAAUUUUUAAAUUAUGUAUUAACCAGAUAGCUCAAUGAAAACUAUCGCUCACUAAAUUAUUACUUUAUUUUGUAUAUAUUUAUGAUAAUUGUUGAAAAGAAAAAUGUAAAGUGAGAUUAACGAACGUUUAUGAAUGUGGAAAUUAACACAACCAAGAUUUAUGAUGAAAUAAUUUUAAGUCAAAUGAGCAUAAAUUUGUAUAAAUAUUUUUUGAAUUGUCAUAUAUAUACAAGUUUGUCACUAAUAGUAAACUUAAUUAUGAGUAUUUUAAUAAUUCAAAAUUUUAUUUAACCAUCGGUGUAUAUAGUGUUUUUCAUAAUACAAAAUUAUAAAAAGUCUCAUCCUGAAUAGUAUAAUGCCAAACCUUUUCAAAAAUUUAUUCUAUUAUAGUCGUCUUAGUCAGUUAUAUUUAUUUCUAAAUUGAAGAUAAAAACAGUACUUCAUAUAUCAUCCAUUACUUCAUACAUUACUUAAAGUUUUUUUUUUUUUCAAUCAAAUUAUGAGCAAGUGAAAGGAUGCAAUAAAUUACGACUAAAAUUGUAAAAUUUACCAAUGGCUAUAUACAAAGUCUGAUUCUCAUGAGCUUAAAAGAUGGGCUUUGAAUGAUGUAUGGUUCUCAAAACUCUACUUUUAUUAAUAUGAUUGCCCUGCUUCCUUCAUGACGGGUAAUUUUUAGUUUCGUCCCCUGAAGUUUGGUUUAUCUCCAUUUUAAUAGGAAAUAUUAGCGUAUCUCCCACUUUUCUCCCCUGCCGUUUGUAUACCGUUUCAUAUUGUUAAUGGACGAAGCUACAAGUCUUCUCUUUCAUCAAAUCGAUCCAUAACAAAUACGAGUCUGCUUCACCUAACCAAAACACACACAUACUCCAUCUCUAAAUGCUUUGAAGAUAAACAAAUCAACCGUAAUCCUGCAACUUUAGCUCAGAGAAUCGGAUAAGAAAAGAACAGGUGAUGAAUCAAGGGUAAUGGCGCCGAGUGAGUGUCGCCUGCGGUCGGCGUUAGAGGCGACUGUCACUCAAUCGCGUACAAGGUUAGUCUUUGAAAAAACUCUUUGCAUGUUAGAAAUCAGUGAUUAGGCAUUAUUUUGUUAUUUAAAAAUGAAAAUGGGUUUAUUAGUUUGUCGAAGAAUCUGCUCUGUUGCCGGUGUUGUUUGUUGAUUAAAAUGAAAAUGGGUUUGUUGAUGUGUUGAAGAAGUUGCUCUCCUGCUGGUGUUUUUUUAUUAAUUAAAAUGAAAAUGGGUUUGUUAAUUUAUUGAAGCAGCUGCUGGCAUUGUUAUUGUGACUUUAUUUAUCCAAUUGAUGAGCUUAUGAGCUAAUAGUAUUGUUUGAUCAAGCUUGUGUUCUUAAUAGUGGAGUUGAUAUUCUUAAAAUGAAUUUAUGAUUAUGAGAAUAUGAAAAUUGAAUGGCAUCGUAGAGAUCUGGAUUAAUCACCAUCGUAUAUGUUUCUAAAUAAAGGAAUAAGCAGCAACCGAUUUGAAAGUUAAGACUUUAGGGAUAUGUAUGUGCAACUGAAUGAAUCAUCAGUUGCUAUCUUGUAAGUCAGUGCUAGCAUAUUACCUAAUGGCAAGUGAAGCUAUUUUAUGUGUAUUGCUGCCUAUCAAAAUGUUUAUGUUUGAAGUUUUCUCCUUUUGGGAAAUUGAAUGCUUCUGUGAGUUCUCUGGUAAGGGCUAUACAACUAUCUCUAAUAGAUUCCUUCAUGUGCAUUAAUUAGCUUAGUAGUUUAUUGACCUAUAUCCAAUGUCUAUUCUCCUUUUCUGUAGCCGUCUAGUUUUAUGAGUGUGUGAAGUGAACUUUUGUUUUAUGUUUCAGGACUUGGGAUUAGAGUGUAUAACAUUCAAUAUCUUUAUAUCAAAGAACUGAUAUAUGUCAAUGUAGUGCGAUCUGGUCUUUAUUAGCUUCUUGAUUUGCCAGGAUGUUUGACAACCAUCUUUGACCAUGAUUGCCAACAUAUAAGCUGCUACAUAGUGUCUCAGGAAUCACAGCAAAUUAUUAUCAUAAUAUGGUGAUUUUGAAUCCAAAACUUGGUAGUGUCAAGAAAAUAGACCCAUGUUUAUUUAUCUUCAUGUUUUGUAUGCGCCUGCAAUAGACUAUUAUAAGUUACUUUUAGUUUUAUCAAGUUUUUUUUUCCUUAAAUUUCAUCGAGUCUUGGAGUCUUUGUAAUAUAGAGUCUAAGUGAAGAAUACUUGGGUGAAAUCUUGUAUUCUCUCUUCCAGUAAUAUAAUCAUCCUUUGUGUUUUUAUCUUUUUAUUUUGGUAUCAGAGCAUACUUUAUUAUAGAAGGACUUAGACUCUAUAUUACAAAGACUCAGCGGUUUCUUUUAACUGAGUUAAUAGUGUUGUUAGGUUAAACUAAGUUUGGCUUCAUAAGAUUCAUAGUAGAGUGUAGAACUGGGUACAAUUUUGGGUUAGACAAGUCAAAAGUCUUCUCAAGUAAUUGUUCUGCUUACUGAUUUGGUAAUUGCAACAUUGCUAAAUAGUUCAAUUUGUCCUUUUAUUUUGUUGAAUUUAUUGUAUGUCAUAUUACUUCAUUUAAUUAUUUUCUCAGAUCUUGUAGGUGAAAAUUUCAGCUUCAAAGGCCAAGCUAAUCAUCCAGCAAUUCAGUGAAACCAAGACACAGUGGCUCAUAAAUUGUUGUUGGUGAUCCAGCCAUUCGGGUGCUUGCCAGUCCUAGACGAGAAAACUUUCAACGCGGCGCAUAAAUUGUUGUUGAUCUACUUUAUAUAUUUUGACCUUUGUGAUUUGUGAAUACAUGGUUUGAUUCCAGUGUUUACAACUUUGAUACUGUGUAUAACUUAAAAAGCAAAUGAAACAAAUAGGAAAUGUGUUUUUAUUUUUUUUAUUCUAUCUAUCUAUUUAUAUUUUGUUUGGAAAUGUAACAAUUUAUAGCUGGCAAAGUACUAGAGUUGUAUACUUGUAUUUAAUUCAUUAUUAUUAUUUUUUUAAUGAUGACUCAGUAAUGUCGUUGUCCAUGGUGUUUUGUCAUUUUGAGAGUACUUAACCCUUGGACGCUAAGGCACAUUACAGUAGCCGAAAUUUUGAGCUUUCAGUUCUUGAUUUUAGCGUGAGGGGUAUCUUUGUCGUUUCAGUUGUCAACAAACAAUUUGUUGGGGGGGGGGGGGGGGGGGUGGAGAUACGCUGAUACUUUCUAUCAUACUGGAGAUACACCUAACCUCAGGGAAGGAAACUGAAAUUUCACCUUUACGACGGGUGGACUUGGGUCAAACUUUCAUAUUCUAAUCAAGUAGGUCGAUCACGAUUCAAGCUUCAGUCAUAAGCCUUUCGUUAUGAUUGAUAUUAUUCUUUCUUGAUAGUAUCAUGGAAAAUGCAAACGAAAAGUCAGCAUCUUUGAGUUUUGUCUCAUCAUAUCCGACUUGUUGGUCUACUAAUCAAUCCACAGACCCUUGUGAUCUUGGUAAUUUGAACUUAAGGAGGCAAAGCAGCAAUCCUAAAGAGCCAUUGCUUGAUGCUGAGAUCGUUGUUGACGGCAAAUCAGUGGCAGUUAAUCGCAGCAUAUUGUCUGCACGCAGUCGUUUUUUUCAUUGGCUUUUUCAUUUGAGCAGUGAUGGUUCUGUGAGUGAGGGGAAACCCAAGUAUCUUAUGACUGAUUUGGUGCCUUAUAGGAAGGUUGGAUAUGAAGCUUUUAAUGAUAUCUUGCAUUAUCUUUACACUGGAAUGCGUAAGGCACCUCCUUCAGAAGUGUUCACGUGUGUUGAUGAUACUUGUGUUCAUCUUGUUUGCCCUCCUGCUAUUAAUUAUGUUAUUGAGUCGAUAUAUGCUUCUGCUGCUUUUAAGAUGACAGAGGUCGUUUCGGUUUAUGAGGUAGUUGCGCUUCCCCGCUACUUGUAUUGCUUAAAUUUAUGCUUAUUGGUAUAGUUUUAACAUAUGUGGGAUUGAAAUCAAUUUCAGUUGUGACUUGCAAAGAGCCAAAGAAUCUGUUGUUUUAUUUUGAAAGAGACAAAGAUGAUGAUGAUGGGCAGUGAACUCUAGGAAUCAAUGCUUGCUGACACUGACACCCAAGAAUGAUAAAAACUAACCAAAAAGGUAUAUAGAUUACAUGAGUCUGAAUUUGAUAAGUGCACCUAUCCUAUCACAAAAAGCUUUUGCGUUGAGUUUCGAACCAAGGAAAAUUGUCACUUCUGUCUGUAGGCUUCAUAGAUUUGUUCAAGCCUUCAAGGAUGUCUAGCUGUUACUUAGGGUCCAACAAUGGUGCUACAUUUCUAGUGGAUGAUAUGUUAUCUACAUCUGUAUAUUGGAACUUUGACAAACUUCGCCUUUCCUUUGUUGAUACACUCGUCUCACUUUUAUUAAAUUGCCUGAUUAUGAAAUGGUCUAUUGGAGACUAGCAAUGGAAGGUUUCUUCUGGAGAAAAUUUUACUUGCCACCAAUUUUCAUUUUGGUCGGUGUCAGUUCAUGCGCUGGCUUGAUUGUUCUGUUAUUUAGGUUGUUUUAUCCGUAUUUUCUCACUAUCUUGAUAGUUAGUUCUCUAAUGCUUUCAAGCUCAACAGCGAAUGCGAGAGAUUCUCUUUGUCCUGUCCAGGUUAUAACCUAGCAAAUCAUUAAUGCUGUAGAAUAACAUCUUGCGUAGAUGAGCUCGUGUCUCUGAACAUUGGUCCAUCGGCAUUUAGGUUCGAUAAGCAUGGCAUUGAUUUUCCCCCUCAUUGUUAUUUUCCUGCACAGAUUAUCCCCUUUAAGUAUUUGAAUUUUGAAUACAUUAUUCUGAAUCAAAACUCUAUACGUCCGUGUAGCAUUUUAUAUAUGCUUUAUGAUAUUUACCAAUAAUUACCCACUGCGAGGUAUUUGAAUUUUGAAUAUAUUAUAUAUUAUUAACUUUUGCACCCUUCUAUACAUGUAUUAGUUAAUUAUAAAGAUAUUUAUAUACUUUAUUAACUUUUGCACCCUUCUAUUUACUGAUUAUCUUUAUAAUUAACUAAUACAUGUAUCCAGGUUUCUCCUUCCAAUUGGAAUUCCUUUAUAGUGCUCUGUUAGGUGUAAUCAGAUGUAUCAAAAGAGAAAGGGUAAUUGUUAGUACAUUGAUAUCUCAACAAAAUGGUAGAACCUUUCUUUAUACCACUAAGACAUUUGUCGCAGAUAUGCCUACAUAAUCAGUGUCCUUCAAAACUUUCAAGGAGUUAGCAAUGCCUAACCCCUGAAACACUAAAUCUCACGGGAUCAACUCUUUACAUCUAGACCGAAGGUGUGACACCCAGACCCAAUUAGGGCUUAGAACACAUAUUGAAUCUGAGUGAAACUAAAUGCCUGUAAAUCCAAAUCUCCAAAAUAUCAAAAAGUCAUCUACUUUCUCUUUUCAUGUAUUUCACAAAAUUUUGAAAAAUUCAUUCUCAAUCAUAAACUAUGCACAGCUAAUUAUUCAGCAUAUCAGUAUAGAGCAAUACUUCCUCAUAAGCAAAUAAAUCUUACAAUCCUUCUUACAUGAUUUUAAAAAAAAUACUAAUAGAAGUCUUCUAGAUACAAACAUAAACAGAAUUCAACUGUUUAAAACUAUGCCAAAACACAAGCUUCAAUCAGUAAUACAUACGACUAAUUAUUAAAAACAUCUAGGCAGAAACCUUACGAAAGCUCAAUCUUUCUGAAGCAUUCUUCAAAUUAAAAAUUGCUACCAUCUGUGAAAAAUAAUUGACAAGGAGUCAGCUGUGAACUCAAUCAGUAGAAACAUUCGUAAUGAACAAAAAGAAUUCUUUGUGCAAUAUUUUCAGAAAAUUCAUUUAACCUUUCAAAUGAAACAGAGUAAUUUUUCUAACGCAGUCAGGAUUUAUAUAAAACACAAACGUUUCAGACAAAAGCUGUGCGGAAUUUAAAUUUUGCUUCUUUAAACAGAAAGUUAUAUAUUAGUUUGAUUUUAAAGGGAGGUUAUUGGGAAGUUAAAAUUGGCAGUUGUGGGAAAAGGGUAAUAGCAGUUAUAAAAUCUGUUUUAAAGCAAAUUCAAAUCAAGUUUCAAAUUUUAGGAGUACUUAAUUCAAUAAAAUAAGGAAUAAAUAAAGCUUUCAUUGAAACAAAACUAAGUAAAUUCAUUUAAAGCAAAAAAGGAUGGGAGCAUUACUAUGGGUUCUUAUGUUUACCCGCAGUCAGACAUCUGGGGACCUUGUUAUUUGGAGACAAGACUUGAUUGUGCCAUGUUUUCCGCAGCUAGACAUCUGUGGAUAAGAGAACCCUAAGCCUAUUUAGAAUAAAUUCUGUAAUCCAAGACUCUUCAGUUCUUUCAUUUGUGGCUAAUUAGUUAUAAAAUUUGUGAAUUUCAUGCCCCAUGCCCCUUGCAAAAUGCCAGUUGUUGAACUGAAAUAAUAAAAAAUGGAAAACAGACUUAAUGCCGAUAGCAUUUCUUAAGAAAAACUUGGGAUGUUUAUAAUUUUCUUAGAGCAUUUGCUGAACUUUCUGUGAUCGCAGUCGAGACGCGUGACCUCUACUUCCCUCAUUGCUCAGAAGUGGUUGAUCGCUUUUUGGAUUUGAACAAUCCUGCCACCCCAGAAAUGGACGACGAGAAACUUAAAGCAGACAUGCAGGAGGCAUUCUGCAAGGACGUGGCUUAUCACCGUCGUUUAGGGCUGCCAUCAUCCCGGCCGGCAUUUUACCAGUACACGGCUAGGAGCAAUCAGUCGGCAUUUUACAAGUACAUGGCUGAGAGCAAUCAGUCGGCCAAGUACGUGGCUGAGAGCAAUGGUUCAGGAAUGUCGACAUCCUCGGCAGCGCGCAAUCUAAAAGUUAUAUUUGACACCUGGAAAACUAAAGGAGUUGAGUGAGAUCGAUUGGUAUUUGUAGUUUCUUUUUUUUUUUCCUCAAGUGAUCUGGCAUAAUUAAAAGUUAUAUUUGUUUGUCUUAAAAGUUAUUGUAAUAUCUAAAGUCCGGUAAGAUGCGCGAACGUAUAGCAUGGAUCACAAACUCAUUUCAUAGAAUAUUUUUUUGUAUAAUUAUAUAAUUUAUAGGCUUUGCUUAAAAAAUUAAAAAAGAAUUGCAUUACAAUUGGUAUGAGGCAUGCAUGUGUGUGUCAUAUCAGUUGCUGAACAAACUUUGCCUUUUAGUUUUGUAGGCACUACCAUCUCAAAUUCUCUGUUAUCAUGAAUGAGUAUUUUUUUCUUUUUUCUUUUUUAAGAAAUCAUAAAUGAGAUUAAGAUAAUUUUUUUUAAAAAAAGAAAAAAAUGGAGAUUUCUUUUAUUUUUCCUUAAAAACUGAAGAAAAAUUUAGAUGGUAGUGUGAGACGGAGAAUUAAAGCAAUUUUACUAACAAAUGUAAUGUGUUUGGUGUCGCAAUACAAAUUAAUAAAUUAUAAUUUAUGAGACUAGUUUGCAUAAUCUUAUAUAUAAAAUUAUAUCCUCUGAAUAAAAAUCUUCUCACCUCUUUUGACUUUUCAUUUAAAUAUCCUCUCUAGAAUCUCUCUGACCAUAAACACAUUUUUACAAAACAAAACAGAAGAAAUUAUAUAUAAUUCUCACAAGGACUAUUUCAUUUGCACAUAGUACGCAAUUGGUCACUAAAGUUAUUUGAGGAGAAAAUUUACAUGAGAUGGGUACAUCCUAUUAUCAGUAUUUUAAUUUAAGUUUGAACAUACUAGAAUGGUCUCUCAUAAAUUUUUCUCCAAUUUGAGAGAUGGUGGGGAAGUGGGGUUAAAGUGCAUCUGCAUAGAAUUAAUUAUAAUUAAAUUUAUUUUUUAAAACUAUUUUAACUAGAAGUAGUAGUAAUUCUUUUUAUUAUUGUUAUUCCAAUUAUAUCAAAAUCUAGUGACUCGUGAUCAAAUUAAGUAGUUCAUUAAACUUUUUUAGGUGACGUAUGGUAUGGAGUUUUUAUAAAUCUAUAAAUAUAGUAAAAUAUUUAAUUUUGCUUGUCGUAAACUUUUAAUUUGCAUGGGUUAAAAAAGAAAAACUAGCGAAAAGUUUGUGCGCAGAGAGCCAGAGAAAACUAGCGGCCGCUGUUAAGCAAAAAGUUAAAAGUUGAACCCCAUGCAUGAAAGCUCCGAAAAUAUCGGACGUGGCGAAAACCCUAUUUUCGGAGGGACUUUUUCUCCGCCGUUUAGGGAGGCUAGAACAACCAAAAAGGCACGGUUUCGUGAUGAGGAAGUAGCUGGUGACAAUCCUAUGCAGGUUUCGUACAAAGAAACCCUGGUGAACUCUUCGCAAGCAAUGGAGAAUGGUUUUGGAGGCGGAGCAGUGGACUGGGAUUUUGAGGAAGGAGAUGUGAUCGAGAACAACGAUGGACCUAUGCCAUCAAUAGCUUUCUCGGCUAGGGUCCAUGAGAAGUUGAGUGAACCGCGGAAGAAUUCUGUCGUUGUGAAACUACUUGGCCGAACAAUAGGCUAUAGGGCUCUCUGCACAAGAUUGAAUGUAAUGUGGAAAACAACCAUGAGUUUCUCAGUGAUUGAUUUAGAGAAUAACUAUUUUUUGAUUCGCUUCCGCUCAAGUAGUGAUGUUGUUGAUGCUCUAACUAAUGGGCCUUGGCUUAUUAUGGGGCAUUACUUAACGGUACAACCAUGGACACCCAAUUUCGAUUUCACCAAAACGGCUAUUGAUCAAGUCACUGUAUGGAUUCGUUUACCUGGUCUUGCUGUCCACCUCUAUGAUCGGAAAAUGCUGCAAAAGCUUGGACAAUUGGUGGGUACGGUGAUCAAAAUUGAUGUGAAUACAGCCUCCUCUACACGGGGACGUUUUGCCCGAGUUGCAGUCACAAUCUCUUUGGCUAACCCGCUAGUGUCUCAGUUUGAACUGGAUGGGAAGGUCCAGAAGGUGGAAUAUGAGGGAUUGCCAGUGAUCUGCUUUAUGUGUGGAAGGUAUGGACAUAACAGAAAUACUUGCAAGGAAGCUGGUGCAGCGAAUGAAGCUGAAAAUGCCCCCCAGCCUACUAUGCAACGUCAGGAGGUCCCUGCUCAUCAGGAGUUUGGCUGUCAUGAUGCUAGUAUUGUAGAACCCUUUGGCACUUGGAUGAUCGUCACGAGAAAAGGCAGGAGAACUAACAAUGGCAUGGAGAAUAACAGUGAGCUAAACCGGAACCGCGAGCCUUUUGGGGCUAGCACUUCAAGAUUCCACAUUCUAGCUCAAGUCUCAGAUGAGCGUGAGGAUCAUGCCCCUGCAGUGGUUAAGGAUAUCCCCUCCACUUCACGUCAACCACUCAUGCCUACCCUGAACCCUACUUUUACCUCCCAUCAAGAGACCAUAACAAGGACCUCGGCAAGGCGUAAACCUCAUAAUAAGGCUGUGGUUACAAAACCUCGAGGUAGGAAACCGGCCACCUCAAUGAAUCCAUUCCAAAACCCCUUUCAGUCGAGUGUUUUUACCACAAGCAAGAAGGAUGUAAACUCCACACCCCAUGCAAACCUUAAUCCCACAUCAUUUGUAACUUCACAGUUUGAACCUGGUCAUCAACAAGUUUCCCACCUUGCUAACACCUUAGACCCAACGAAGCAUACUGUGGUCUUUUGCUCACCACAAACCUUUCCAUCGGGGAAUGUAAGGGAUGCGGCCAUUGAGCAUAGAGCUCGGCAGGGACCAGACCCUCAACAUACAUCUACUUGCCAGACGCUCGAAACACAUCAUGUGUUAAUGAAGUUGAGAAUGCCCAUACACACCCUGAGCAGCCUACGAGUGGAGUUGAUGAGGCUGGAAUGUUGGAUGAAGAAGAAUCAAUGGUUCAAGAAACGCUUAUGGCGUUGAUGGCUGAUAUUAAUGAUCAGCAAAACUAAGGUUUCUAUCAUCCCCUACUGAAAUUUUUUAUGUCAAUUAGCAUCAUGUAUUGGAAUGUUCAAGGGGUGGCCUUGACUACUUUUCGCCACUCUUUUAAGACUAUUGUUAAAAAUUAUAAUCCUUCUCUGGUGGUAUUGAUGGAACCUCGUAUUAGUGGGGGUAAAGCAGAUGAGUUUAUUAAGAAAAGUGGUUUUGACAACUCUCAUCGUGUGGAAGUAGUAGGCUUCUCUGGAGGAAUUUGGCUGCUCUGGCAGAAUGUUAUAGAGGUGGAGGUUCUUUUAAAUCACAAGCAAUUUAUUCAUUUCAGGAUUAGCAUGAAUAAGGUAUUUAUGUCUUGGGCAACGGCUGUCUAUGCUAGCCCAAAUCCAAUGUUGCGGAGAUAGUUAUGGAAUCAUAUGGAUAGCCUUGCUCUCUCUAUCCAAGGACCUUGGCUGAUUGGUGGGGAUUUCAAUUCUAUAUUGUACGCUUCUGAAAAACAGGGGGAGCUGCAGGGCAGUCAGGAGUGUGUGGCUUGUUUCGGCAGUGGUUUGAUGGACACCAAAUCUUUGAUUUAAAGUUCAAAGGCCCUCAAUCUACAUGGUCUCGUGGUUUUCUUUUCAAAAGGCUAGAUAAAGCCUUAUGCAAUAAUGAGUGGUUAUUAAAGUUUGCAGAUAACUCAGUUCUCCAUCUUCCGAAAGUUGCUUCGGAUCACAGACCGGUGCUAGUUCAGUUUGAGAGAGUUGUACGGAGACAUCAUGGUAAUAGGCCCUUUCGGUUUUUGGCUUAUUGGUUUACUAAUGAUCAUUUUAAUAAUUUUGUUAAGCAGACGUGGGAUCCUCAAGCUUCUUAUAGUGAUGCGGCAUCUAUUUUUGUCAAGGAGGUUCAAGUUUGGAAUCGGGAGGUUUUUGGGAAUAUUUUUCAGCGAAAACGUAUCUUAAUGGCUCGGAUUAAUGAGAUUCAAGCAACCUUGGAGAAAUCUAGUUCGAGGGGGUUAAUGCGCUUAGAGGCUUAGUUGCGGAAAGAUUUGGAGAUGGUGAUGGGGCAAGAGGACAUUCUUUGGUGGCAAAAAUCGAGAAAGGAUUGGAUUAUGCAUGGGGACAGAAAUAUUAGGUUCUUUCACCAAAAAACUAUUGUUCGCAGGCGGCGGAAUAGAAUUGAAGCCAUCCAGGACAAUUCGGGCAAUUGGUUGUACAAUGAGGAAGAAAUCCGAAAUCAUACAGUUGGGUAUUUUUCUGCCUUAUUCACAAGUGAGGCUGCAAGUCCCCAAGUUUAUCUUGUUCCGAAUUAUUUCCCAACUCUGGAUGCUUAUGAUAUCGAUUGUGUUGCCAACCCAGUUUUGGAAGCAGAAAUCAAGAAUGUCGUCUUUAGUAUGAAACCGCUAAAGGCUCCAGGUACGGAUGGGUUGCAUGCUAUUUUCUACCAGUCUCAAUGGGCAGUGGUUUGGCCUUCCUUCUGUAAGUUUAUUGCUGACAUUUUUAACUCUGGUAAGAUUCCUAAAGAGGUCAAUACUACUCUUCUGGUAUUGAUCCCUAAAGUGGAGCAUCCUACUAGCUUAAAAAUGUUCAGACCUAUCAGCUUAUGUAUAGUCGCCUAUAAAACAGUGACUAAAAUAAUUACUAACCGUUUGCAAGUCGUGCUGCCUAAAAUUAUAGGCCCUCAUCAGACGAGUUUUGUUCCUGGCCGCCACAUCAUAGAUAAUAUUGUUGUUGCCCAGGAAGUGGUCCAUACUAUGCAACGAAAAACAGGUAAGCGAGGGCUUAUGGCUAUCAAGGUAGAUCUCGAGAAGGCGUAUGAUCGGCUCAAUUGGUCUUUUAUCUUCGAUACUCUUCAGCUGACUGGCAUUCCGAUUCAAUUAUCUAGGCUCAUCAUGGAAUGUGUUACUACAGCUAAAAUGAGCAUUUUGUGGAAUGGAUAGGCUAUGGAGGAAUUUUCUCCGGGGAGAGGAAUCCGACAGGGAGAUCCCCUGUCUCCCUAUAUUUUUGUGCUUUGCAUUGAGCGGUUGAGCCAUGGUAUUUCCCAAGCUGUGAGGGAAGGCAGUUGGAAACCAAUCCGGUUGGCCAAACGGGGAACUCCCCUAACACAUUUAUUUGUUGCUGAUGACUUACUUUUAUUUGCAGAAGCCUCAAUUAAUCAAGCUUAUAUCAUUGACGCAGUUCUGGAGAAUUAUUGUCGGAGCUCUGAAACAAAGGUUAAUAAAUCAAAAACCAAAGUCUUUUUCUCUAAAAAUGUGUUAUCUAGAGAUGCCCAGCUUAUUAGUGACGCCUUGGGAUUUUCGGCUACUAAGGAUUUAGACUGUUACCUUGGCAUGCCUCUAAUCCAUUCGCGGGUGAAUAAAGCUACUUAUCAGUCCAUUCUGGAUAAGGUGGACAUGCGGCUUACUGGAUGGAAUGUGGCUAAUUUAUCCUUUGCUUGAAGAGUAACUUUGGCUCAAUCGGUGGUUCAAGCAAUGCCCAUUUAUGCAAUGCAAACAACUUUGCUUCCCCCCCGAUGCGUCAUAAAAUUGACACGACUUGUCAUCGGUUUAUUUGGGACGGGAAGUCGAAGAGGCACAAGAUGAGUAUGGUGGGCUGGGACAGAAUUUGUAUGCCAAAGAAUCAUGGGGGUCUGGGGUUUAAAAAGCUAGAUGUGUUGAACCAUGCACUGCUGAUGAAGCUGACCUGGGAAGUUGUAUCUAACUCGGACAAAUUAUGGGUGAAGGUGUUUUGUUCUAAAUAUGGGUUGGAUCCUGGAAACUUACCGCUCUCUCUCCUAGAUAAACAAUGGUCCCGUAUUUGGAUGGCUAUCAGGAAAACGUGGGCAGACACCAUGCAUGGAGCCCGCUGGUCAGUUUGUGAUGGUGUGAGAACUCGGUUUUGGCUUGACUGCUGGGUAACGAAGCAAGAACCUUUGAUAAAUUUUGCCCUCCAGCCGAUCUCUCACGAGAUUAUUAAUGCUACUGUGAGUGAGUUUAUAAACGAACACAGGGGCUGGAACUGGCUGAGAUUUGAACAUUUGCUGCCAAAUUACAUCCUCAUAUUGCAUCAGUUAGGCACUGACAAAAUUUACUGGAGUUUUGAUCCAAGAGGUGUGUUUACUGUCCGUUCAGCCUACGACUCCAUCUAUCGUCAAAACCUAGCCAUCCAAGAUGAAGCAUGGAGCUUAGCAUGGUCGUGGAAGGGACCCCAAUCUAUCCGCCUUUUUCUUUGGCAAAUUAUGCAUGGGAAGUUGAAGACUCAUGGUGAGCUGUCUCGGCGUCACAUUCCCGUGUCUAUGGCUUGUGAUAGGCGUGGGGCAUUGGUUGAGGACAUUCUACAUGCAUUGAGAGAUUGCCAUUGUAUUAAACGGGUUUGGCUGCGACUUGUUCCAGAGGGUGAUUAUCACUCUUUCUUUCACAUUAAUUUACGGGAUUGGAUUGUAGUUAAUCUUCAGAACAAGUUAAAGUUCGUUUCCCACAUUCAUUGGGAGUGUGUUUUUGGAGUGGCCGUUUGGAGAUUAUGGUUCUGGAGAAAUCAUUUCAUGGUCGAAGGAAAAUUGGUGGAUAGCUCAGCAAUUAAUAUGGAUAUUAUGGCCAGAGCAAAUGAAAUUCAUAGAGUGAAUAAUUCUCACAUGAGUCAGCAACCGAGGAGAAAAGAGAUGCUUAUCGGCUGUCAGCCUCCUCCAUGGCCUUGGUGUAAGUUAAAUACGGAUGGAUUUGUUAGAAAUUCAUGGGAUGUAGGGGCUGGUGGUGUUAUUCGUGAUUCAGUUGGUCACUGGAUUUCGGGAUUUUGUAUGAAUAUUGGGGAGUGUUCGGUGGUUAUGGCUGAGCUAUGGGGUCUAUAUCAAGGUUUAAUCCUGGCGUAGGAUGCUGGCAUAAAACGUCUUUUGGUGGAAGUGGACAGUCUGUGUGUUUCACAGAUGAUUUCUAAGCAGGUGGUCGUGCCUAAUGCUUUUUAUGCUCUAGUUGUUGCUAUCCCGAAACUUCUAAGCAGGAACUGGCAAGUUUCCCUCACUCACAUCUUUCGUGAAGCGAAUUCAACUGCGGAUUUCAUGGCUAAUAUGGCUUAUUCAGUCUCUCAUGGGUUACAUUUAUUUACUAGCCCGCCUGUGGUUAUUUAUUUAAUUAUAUUGCAAGACAUGUUUGGGGUUGCUCAACCCCGUAUUGUUCCGGUUUAGCUCGAAUUUGAGCCCAUUUUAAUCAAAAAAAGAAAAAGAAAAAAAGAAAUUGACUUAUUAAUUAAUUAACAAUUAUAGAAAGAAUAAAUAGAAAAUUAUAAUGGCGAACCUUGCUUGUUCUUUGCCUCUUGGGCUUAUGGUGUACCCUUGUCCCCCGCUGGGGGUUUCAUCCAUUCUUCUGUAUGAUUCUUACGGGGUUGCGACUCCUCGUUCGGUUGUUUUUUAGCUCUUAAUUGAGCCCCAGUUGAUCAAAAAAAAAAAAAAAAAAUUAUAGUUGCGUGAGAAAACUCUCGUGAAAAGGGCUCCGGAUUUCCUUUCCCUGGCUUCGUGCGUUUCCUUUUGCCCUUUCGAGCACGAAUUCGAAUCCAGUACUUUAUAAUAAAGAUAUAAUAUUAAAAAAUAAGAAAAAGAAUCCAAAUUUUUACUGGUAUAUAACGCAGAGCCAAAGCGAUAGCAAAACAUCAAAUUGUUUUUAUUUCAACCUUCGCGCAACUUCCGGUGACAUAAUUUUUAUCUGUUUCAGGUAUCGUUCUUGUUUUUUUGUUAUUCAUUCACAUAUCCUUCUUUUCUUUUCUUUUUUGCUGUAUUUUGUUUAUGAAACGCUCUGUUUCAGUUUUGUUUCUGGUUUUGUUUCAGUUUAACAUUAUUGGUUCGGUUCUGUUCUACGUCGUAUGUAUAUAUGUAUAUAUUUUUGGCCUCGAAUUGCUUUGAUCACCGGUUUUGUUAUUCAUUUAUCGUGAAUUUUAGAUGACUUGUUUGGCCAUGUAUUCACUUGAUUAUUACAUUCAGCUGCCAUUUUCAUGGUGGGUUUGUAAGAUAGUCUCUGACUAGCAUACGACAUUGAUCAUGAAUGAUGGUUUUGUUAGAUACAUCAUACGGAUGUUAACUCGUAUUAUUGUGUACUUACUUCAUUCAAAAGAUUAGUGUUUCUCUCUCUCUCAAUUUUUUUAAGAAAAAAAAUGAAAUGCCCCUUUUCGCAUUUUAUAGGUGAAAGGAAGAAACAUAAUAUCGCAGUGUCAAGGAAGCUCAUAAUGUAUGGAAGGAUGCAGCACACGUGUGAGAUGAAUACAGUCAGCUGAAGUUAGUUAGACACGUUAAGAUCAUAUUCAAUUAGCUUCUUUAUUUUCUGUUAAGUUGUAAACAGCUGAGUAUAAAUACAAGCAUCUUGUAAUCAUUUCGUUGUUAAGAAAAAUGAAAUAAAGCAUUUGAUUCAGAAGUCUUUUACAAAUUUUCUUAGCACUUUAAAUACAUUUUCUCAGUAACCAAACAGUCUGUUCAUUCAAGCUUUUAAGCUUUCAAACAUGGUAUCAGAGCCAUACAGAGCUAGUUCCAGUAAUCAACAGUCAAGCUUUCGUAAUCAAACAACAAACAACACAAAUCAAUCUACUCAAAUCAACUUCUCCUUUACUAAUCCUAUCAAGCUAGAUCGAUCAAAUUACUUACUCUGGCGCUUUCAAGUUUUAGCCUCAAUAAGAGGCAAUCGUUUGGAAGAUUUCGUCACAGGAGCCAAAUCAGUACCUGAUAAGUGUCUUCUGUUAACUGAAGUAGAUGGAUCUACACAACAAAUUGAAAAUCCAGAAUAUCAGAUCUGGAGAUCACAGGAUCAGACACUUCUUGGCUGGCUACUGUUGUCAUUAAGUGAAGGUAUCUUAAGUCUUGUUAUCAAUUGUGAAAGUUCAUUUGAUAUAUGGAAAACUUUGGAAAAGAAAUUUGGAGUUCAAUCUGAAGCUCGAGUUCUUCAGCUCAGAUAUGAACUAAACACUCUUAAAAAGGAAGCUCUUAGUGUUUAAGAUUAUUGUAUUAAAAUGAAAGCAAUAACUGAUAAGCUAGCCAGUGCUGGUAGUUCAAUUACAGAGAAGGAUCUUAUGUUAACUAUUCUUAAUGGAUUAGGACCAGGAUUUCGUGAUAUUGCUACAUUUAUAACUGGUUCACGAAUGGAAUUUGAUGAUGCUUAUGCACUGUUACUCACUCAUGAGACUAGAUUAGAGCAGGAGAAAGGUGACAGAAGUAUGUUUAAUGCAAACUAUGCAUAUACGAAUGCAUAUUAUCCUAGAGCUUAUUUUGCACAGCCUAGAGGAAGUUUUAAACGAGGAGGUUAUUCUGGUGGUAGAACUCCUUUCUUUGGCAGAGGAAAUAUGAAUUACUCUCCAAGAAUGUUUAAUGGAGGUGUUAGAAAUGGAUAUUGCAGAGGAUUUUUUCCUGGAAAUAACUCAACUGAUUUCAAUCAUUUUUCAGCUCCUAGGAAUCCAGUACCUAGGAACUCAUCCUUUCUAGCUAGAAAUGGUGCUAAUAUGAGUGGAUCACAAGGAAGCUUUAAUAAUGCUAGGGAGCUGGUAUGUCAGAUUUGCUUUAAGAAUGGUCAUACUGCUGAUGUCUGUUGGCACAGAUUUGUUGAAGACUUUGUACCUAUUCCAAGAGGUUUUGGCAGGGGAAAAACACCAAGAGCAGCAUAUUUCUCAAACUUUGAUGGCCCUACUUCUAAUCCAGAUUUUGGCUAUGAAAAUAAUAAUAUGUUUCCAGGUUAUGAUUCUAUAUCUGGCAAUAGUUACUAUUCUGGAAUGGAUGGAUACACUUCUGGAGCAGUUGGAACAGCUUUCAUGGCUAAUUUUGAAGGAACUGCUGAUGAUAGAUGGUAUCUGGAUAGUGUGGCAACUCACCAUUUAACCAACAAUAUGGAGAAUUUGCAGAUCAAUGAAGAGUUUAAAGGUACUGAUCAGCUUAUCAUUGGAAAUGGUCAAGGUUUGUCUAUUACUCAUGUUGGACAUGCAUUUCUGGUAUUAAGAGCUUCUAAAUCUUUAUCUAUACAUGCUAGAAUAACACUUAAAGAUGUGUUAUUUGUUCCUUCAAUUACCAAAAAUCUAUUAAGUAUUUCCAAACUCACAUCUGAUAAUCUUGUAUCUGUUGAAUUCUGUGGAAAUGUUUGUUUUGUAAAGGACAUGAAGGGUCAAGUUCUUCUGCAGGGUAUUGCUGAAAAAUGCCUUUACAAGCUGCUGCUGAAAUCUAAUUCUCUUUCUUCAUCACCUACAUCUUAUCUUUGUAAAUCCCAGCCAAAUAAACCAGUUUCUAUGUUAUCUGCUUUCAAACACUGUGAUAAUGGUACUCGAGCUUGCUAUCAAUCUGUUUUAAAUAAGUGUAAUGUCAAACCUGAUAUGAUAACUUUGUUACAUAGAAAGUUUGGUCAUCCAAGCUCAAUGACAUUGGUGCAUUUGCUCAAAUCAUGUAAACAGUUUAAAGUCUCUCCAAAAGACAUGUUAUCUUCUGCAAACACUUUAUGUGAAGCAUGUCAGCUAGGCAAAGUCCAUAAGCAACAUUUCUCAAUAACUGAAACAAAAACAAAAGGGGUAUUAGAAUUGAUUCAUACUGAUCUUUGGGGGCCUUCACCCACUGUGUCUAGAGAUGGAUACAAAUACUACAUUAGUUUUGUGGAUGAUUAUACUAGGUAUUCUUGGAUCUAUCCUCUUAAGCUCAAAUCACAAGCAUUUGAAGUUUUUAAAUUGUUCAAAACUCAAGUUGAGAAUCAGUUUGAUACCAAAAUUAAGAAGCUACAAUCUGACCUUGGGGGAGAGUUUAGAGCAUUUACUGAUUUUCUGAAUCAAAAUGGAAUAAUGUUUAGACACUCAUGUCCUUACACUCAUCACCAAAAUGGUUUUGUUGAGAGGAAACACAGGCAUAUAGUUGAGCUAGGCUUAACCCUCAUGGCUCAAGCAAACCUUCCUCUUCAAUUCUGGUGGGAACCUAUUCAUACAGUAGUGUAUCAUAUUAAUAGAUUGCCUACCCCUGUUCUGAAAUUCUUAUCUCUUUAUGAGAAACUUUUCAAACACAAACUAGAUUACACAUUCCUGAAGUGUUUUGGUUGUCUUUGCUACCCAUACUUGAGAGAUUUUAACAAACAUAAGUUUGAUUUUCACACCUCUAAAUGCAUUUUUAUUGGAUACAAUCCCUCUUAUAAAGGAUACAAGUGCUUAGCAAGUUCUGGCAAAGUCUAUGUUCUUAGACAUGUCAUUUUUGAUGAAAACACAUUCCCUUAUCCAAUAAACACUACAUCUCACACAUCAGAAAACUCCAUAUCUUCUGAAACCUCAGUGUCUAAUUUCUCUCAACAACAUAUCUAUCAUCUUUCUACAAUGGCCUUACCCAACAGCAGCUUUGAAGGUCUUCAAUCAGCAGGCUCAGCAAGAAGUGAACAAAUGUCCUCUGUUCCCACACAUACAGAUAUUCUGAAUCAACAAGAACAUCCAUCACACACAUCUUUAGAGUUAUCAUCCUCAACCUCACCAUCACCAAACACAUUACCAGUACAAUCAUCCAUUCUACAAUCAGAGGAAACUUCUAUUCCACAGAACAUAGACCAAAUUCAAACCAGAAAUCAUUCCCAACCAUCUUCUCAUCCAAUGAUUACCAGAUCAAAAUCUGGAAUCUUCAAACCAAAGGUCUAUACAGUCACCUUAGCCAACAAAGAACCUAGUACAGUUCAAGAAGCUCUUAGUAGUCAGAAUUGGCAUCAAGCCAUGGUAGAUGAGUAUGCAGCUUUGAUAAAGAAUGAGACUUGGUCACUGGUACCAUUUUCAAAUGCAUACAAAGUAGUUGACAAUAAAUGGGUGUUUAGACUUAAGCAAAAUACUGAUGGAAGCAUAGUUAAACACAAGGCCAGGUUGGUUGCCAAAGGUUUUCAGCAAACUGAAGGUGUGGAUUACUUUGAGACCUUUAGCCCAGUUGUAAAAGCUUCAACAGUAAGGAUUGUUCUGAGUUUAGCUGUGAUGCAUAAAUGGAAAAUAAGGCAAGUGGAUGUGAAUAAUGCAUUCUUGAAUGGAGACUUGACAGAGGAUGUCUAUAUGUAUCAGCCUGAAGGUUUUAUUGAUCAACAAAAACCCAAUCAUAUAUGUAAGCUGAAGAAGGCCUUGUAUGGCUUGAAGCAAGCUCCUAGAGCUUGGUAUGACAAGCUUAAGAAUUGUCUUAUUGCUAAUUGGAAAUUUCAGAAUUCAAAGGCUGAUACCUCUCUCUUCUUCAAAGAAGUGCAGGGUUCAAUGAUACUUAUCUUAAUCUAUGUUGAUGACAUUCUAAUAACAGGACCUGAUAAUGGUGAGCUGGAAAAAUUCAUCUCAGAAUUCAGUAAGACUUUUUCCUUAAAAGACUUAGGGAAUUCUGUCAUAUUUUCUGGGGAUAGAAGUUUCCUAUGCUGAAGACUGCAUCUAUUUAUCUCAGAAGAAAUAUAUCUUGGAUUUGUUAUCCAAAGCUGAUAUGCAAAAUUGUAAAGGCUGUGACACUCCCAUAGUUACUGGAACAAAGCUUCAGAAAGAAGUCAAAGGCUGUUUGGGUCAAUAUAUUGAGGAUGCAACAAGCUAUAGAAGCUUAGUUGGAGGUUUACAAUAUCUGGUAUUAACCAGACCAAAGAUAGCAUUUGCUGUGCAUAAGUUGAGCCAGUAUGUGACAGCUCCAACACUCCAGCAUGUUAUGGCUUGUAAAAGAGUUCUUAGAUACCUUAAGGAAACUGCAGAUCAUGGUUUGAAGUUUUCAGCAGGUGGAGAAAUGAAGAUCACAGGAUUUACAGAUGCAGAUUGGGCAUGUGAUGUUGAUGACAGAAAAUCAAUAGGAGCAUAUUGCAUUUAUUUUUGGAAACAAUCUAAUUUCAUGGUCAUCCAAGAAGCAGGCUAUGGUUACACGAUCCAGUGCAGAGAGUGAAUAUCGUGCUCUGGCUUCUGCAAGUGCAGAGAUAACAUGGAUCCAGUCAUUAUUCAGUGAACUCAACAUUAAGUGUACUUCAUUACCAACUAUCUGGUGUGAUAAUAUAAGUGCAACAGAGUUGGCCAAGAAUCCAGUUUAUCAUUCAAGGACAAAACACAUUGAACUGGAUAUGCACUUUAUUAGAGACAAAGUUUUGGCAAAGGAGUUGGAGAUUAACUAUAUUCCCAGCGAGGAGCAAAUUGCUGAUGCUUUGACAAAGCCUCUGACAUUCAUUCAUUUCAAUUAUUUCAGAGACAAACUCAAUGUGCAACCAUGCCCCUUGAGUUUGAGGGGGGCUGUCAAGGAAGCUCAUAAUGUAUGGAAGGAUGCAGCACACGUGUGAGAUGAAUACAGUCAGCUGAAGUUAGUUAGACACGUUAAGAUCAUAUUCAGUUAACUUCUUUAUUUUCUGUUAAGCUGUAAACAGCUGAGUAUAAAUACAAGCAUCUUGUAAUCAUUUCGUUGUUAAGAAAAAUGAAAUAAAGCAUUUGAUUCAGAAGUCUUUUACAAAUUUUCUUAGCACUUUAAAUACAUUUUCUCAGUAACCAAACAGUCUGUUCAUUCAAGCUUUUAAGCUUUCAAACACGCAGAACUAGAAUAAAGGAGCCUAUUCUGGUACCUAUUGUCCAAGAAAGCUUCUGUAUAUUCAGUAGGAACUACCAUGGAAGUCAAAUCUUACCAGAGCCAGGCGGAGUCGUUGCUGAAGGAAUAUAUAUUAGCAGAUCCAUUUCUCCCGUACACUUCAAUUGUUGGUAGCAUUUUUGCUUGCACGAUGGUAUGUUUGUCAUCGUUACUGCGUGGUGGUAUUUACUAGAAAAUAUUUUGAAUGCGUAGUUUUCAUCUAAUUAGUUAUAAAUUUUAUACCCUCUGUUUUCCAUAAGAAUGUGUUCCUUUUCAGGUCUAUGAUCUUGCCCAAUUGAUUAGUGUGCUGAUAACUUUAAAUCUGAUUCCAGUUUCUCCAACAUACAGCGGGUCGAGUGGAGUAACAGGUGAUUGAAAAUUUUCAUUUAGUCCAAUUGUCAUUUCUUUCUCAAUCGGUAAAAUUUAAUCAUUUUUCUUAAAUCGACAACUUAUGCCGGGCCAUAUCAACUGUCCAUGACAUUUUUAUUACAACGAUGUCUUUGUACUUUGUGUUUUGGUCGAAUCUCAGAGUUUGUGCAUAGCACACUUGGUUCUACUGUUUGUUUGUCCCUUCAUAGACAUUUUGAUAAACUGUUAUUUUUGUUCUUUGGAAGUGAAUAUUUUCAGCAACUAGAACUCCGAAGCAUCUGGAGUGAUCCAUUUUGUCAUUCGCAAUACCUAUAAAAGAAUGUCAUAGAAAACAGUUUCCAAAGCAAGUUGCAUGUGUUUUGAAUUUGUCUUUGCAAGCCACUAAUUGCUUGGAGCGCACUGUUAGCCUGUCGUGAUCCCAUCCACUUUUUUGGAUAGACAAUUGUGCAUCCAUAUGAUCUGGACUAAACUAGUUUCUAAUAAAUAAUUGCCCAAGGAUUUAGUCUCAGUGUUACAGCCCAGUCUUUGUUGUCAAUACUCUUUCCCCUGUCGUGGAUGAGCGCCAUAACAGCUUCUUAAUGUUUUGCAGUGGCUUUUGCACGGUUGUUGUUUCCUUCUGAAGCUAGAGUAGCUACGGAUAGAGCGGAUGCAGAUGCCACCAAUUUUUAUACUGGCCUUUCAGCAUCAAAAUCAAAAGGAUCAAGUGGGAACUUAAAGGAGGUUGAUUUGAAUGAAACACCCUCCAUGCAAGCCAAGAGACUCCAAUUAAGAUUGCAAGCUCUGCUUAAAACAAGUAUUCAUAUACCUUAUUAGUUUUUGUACCUUUACAAUUUGUGAUUUUUGUAUCAAAAGAGAGAGGUUAAUUUUUAGUACAUUGAUAUCUCGACAAACUGUUAGAACCUUUGCACCACUAGAGACAUUUUCUUAGAGCAUUUACUGAACCUUCUAUGAUUGCAGUGGAGAUAGGUCGACGCUACUUCCCUCGUUGCUCAGAAGUGGUUGAUAAAUUUUAGGAUUGUGAUUGGUCCGAUGCUUCCCUCCUAGAAAAAGGGUACUCCUAAAGAGCAGAGACUCAAAAGGGCACGCUUCAUGGAACUUAAAGAAGACGUGAAGAAGGCAUUUUACAAGGACAUGGCUGAGAAAAAAUGGCUCAGGUUUGUAGUCAUCCUCGUCAUCGUCAUCUUCUCCGAAGGACGGAGUAAAGUGUAAGGGUAGGAAAAUGUGAUGCUUAUCUGCUUGUCUUUGUUAUUCAUUUACAGGCAACUAAAAGAGUUUUAGUGAGUUGGAUUGUUACUUGUAGAGAGAUACUCUUCGAGCCUAUGUUAUGGCUUAUGUUGUAUAAUAGCAGAGGAACUUCAAGCUUGCGUUGUUGUAUUUUCCCUGGUAUUUGGCAUGUGAUGCACUAAAUGACAAAGAAUUUUCUAAUUUUAGAGGGGAAAGUUAUGUCAGUUAAUUAUUUAUUUAUUUUGUCUGUUUAAUUCAGUUUACACAGCGCUUUUUUUUUUCUAAAAAAAUCUUCAUAUCUCCAUCUGCAAUUUAAGUCAUUCUUAACUUGUUUCAGGAUGGGGAACAAAAAAAAAAAAGAGAAAAUGAAAAGAAGCAUUUGUAAGUAUAUUUUACAGUACUGAUUUUCCUAUAGAAAUUGGUUAAUGUGACAUUAAUGUUCUUUGAGAUAGACGGAUAUACAGAUUUUUCGUCGAAAUUGAAAUUAGAAAUGGAUGGAUAUGCAGAAUUUUUUAAUAGAAUUUUUAUACAAAAAUUUGUAGCUCAUUACUCUCUAAAAGGAAAAAAUAAAUUUUUGAUUGUAAAUAUUAAAUUUUAAAUUUAUAAUAUAAUAACUUUGUGAGUUAAGGUGCACAAUACCCAUAUAUUAAUAAUUAAGAAAAGAAAAAAAAAUUAAAAUUUGUAAAUUACCAAUUUUUUCUUGAAAUUUGAUAUUCUAUAUUAACGUAGGUGUUGCAUGGACUGGGUUAGUACAAUUGAAAGAAACUAACUAAAGUAAAACAAAAUAUCAUUAAAAAUAUGGCAAGCUUCUCAUAUUUUUUAAGUGAAAAAGAGAAGAAAACUAAAAUUAGUUAUUUUUAUACCCAAAUUCUAGUGCUUGAAGGCCGCUGGAAUUGACCAUUGCAGUUUUGUCAUCCUCAUUAUUCACCGGCCAUCGUGGCCUUCCUCCAUUAAAAAAAUAAAUGAUCAUUUUUUUGGACCACGACAUAUUAAAAAUAGUAUUGAUUAAUACUAAUAAAUCUCUUUUUUUAUUAUUUUGCAGUGCAAUAGUCCAGUGAGGGCAGUGCCCAUCGUAGCACUUGAACAUGUGGUAAAUUUCUGCCAGUCUUUGUAAAAUAAUUUUUAAAUUAUGUAUUAACCAGAUAGCUCAAUGAAAACUAUCGUUCACUAAAUCAUUACUUUAUUUUGUAUAUAUUUAUGGUAAUUGUUGAAAAGAAAAAUGUAAAGUGAGAUUAAUGAACGUUUAUGAAUGUGGAAAUUAACACAACCAGGAUUUAUGAUAAAAUAAUUUUAAGUCAAAUGAGCAUAAAUUUGUAUAAAUAUUUUUUGAAUUGUCAUAUAUAUACAAGUUUGUCACUAAUUCCUUACCUAAAUCAUGUACUAAGCAAACAGCAAAUAAGAUCGAAAAUCUUGUUGAAUAUUCCUAUGUUCCCGAGUCCGCCCAGAUCACUGAAUCUUCUUUACCUCUUAUCAGUCCAUACCAUCUGUAUAAAAAAACCAUCUUCUUUUACUAAAACCAUCAAAACCCUGAUUUCUACCAAACGCCCCUCUCCUAAAGAGUAUAUCCAGUCAUCUAAACUAGAUCAGUGUGCUUUAAUGGCUACUGCAGCUGAACAAUAUGUGACACUUGAGAUACCCCCAGAAGUAAUCUCUACAUGGAAAAGAAAAGGCUAUACACAUCUUCAUCUUGCAGGUGUUCGCCUUAUCCUUACUCUCAAUGGGAGAAAGGGUCUACCCGUCACAGCCCGAAUUGCUUUGCUUGACACCAGGUUUAAGCAAUAUCAGCAUGCCAUUAUUGGCACAGUUCUUACUACUCUCUCUGCCGGAAAUGUUUUGCUUACAUUCUAUCCUAAUUUCAAUCUUUCUCUUCUUGACUCUAAUCUUUUCAAAGUAGGUUUUAAUGGUGUUCAAAAACAUAACAUCACAUUAAGGAAUCAUUCUUUUAUUGUUAUCCCCAAAAAAAGUUCACCUUCACCAACCCCCUCAUUUACCCUUCUUCUCAGCUAUCCUUUGGCGUAUCUCCAUUUUAAUAGGAAGUAUUAGCAUAUCUCCCACUUUUCUCCCCUGCCGUUUGUAUACCGUUUCAUAUUGUUAAUGGACGAAGCUACAAGUCUUCUCUUUCAUCAAAUCGAUCCAUAACAAAUACGAGUCUGCUUCACCUAACCAAAACACACACAUACUCCAUCUCUAAAUGCUUUGAAGAUAAACAAAUCAACGGUAAUCCUGCAACUUUAGCUCAGAGAAUCGGAUAAGAAAAGAACAGGCGAUGAAUCAAGGGUAAUGGCGCCGAGUGAGUGUCGCCUGCGGUCGGCGUUAGAGGCGACUGUCACUCAAUCGCGUACAAGGUUAGUCUUUGAAAAAACUCUUUGCACGUUAGAAAUCAGUGAUUGGGCAUUAUUUUGUUAUUUAAAAUGAAAAUGGGUUUGUUGAUGUGUUGAAGAAGUUUCUCUACUGCUGGUGUUUUUUUAUUAAUUAAAAUGAAAAUGGGUUUGUUAAUUUAUUGAAGCAGCUGCUGGCAUUGUUAUUGUGACUUUAUUUAUCCAAUUGAUGAGCUUAUGAGCUAAUAGUAUUGUUUGAUCAAGCUUGUGUUCUUAAUAGUGGAGUUGAUAUUCUUAAAAUGAAUUUAUGAUUAUGAGAAUAUGAAAAUUGAAUGGCAUCGUAGAGAUCUGGAUUAAUCACCAUCGUAUAUGUUUCUAAAUAAAGGAAUAAGCAGCAACCGAUUUGAAAGUUAAGACUUUAGGGAUAUGUAUGUGCAACUGAAUGAAUCAUCAGUUGCUAUCUUGUAAGUCAGUGCUAGCAUAUUACCUAAUGGCAAGUGAAGCUAUUUUAUGUGUAUUGCUGCCUAUCAAAAUGUUUAUGUUUGAAGUUUUCUCCUUUUGGGAAAUUGAAUGCUUCUGUGAGUUCUCUGGUAAGGGCUAUACAACUAUCUCUAAUAGAUUCCUUCAUGUGCAUUAAUUAGCUUAGUAGUUUAUUGACCUAUAUCCAAUGUCUAUUCUCCUUUUCUGUAGCCGUCUAGUUUUAUGAGUGUGUGAAGUGAACUUUUGUUUUAUGUUUCAGGACUUGGGAUUAGAGUGUAUAACAUUCAAUAUCUUUAUAUCAAAGAACUGAUAUAUGUCAAUGUAGUGCGAUCUGGUCUUUAUUAGCUUCUUGAUUUGCCAGGAUGUUUGACAACCAUCUUUGACCAUGAUUGCCAACAUAUAAGCUGCUACAUAGUGUCUCAGGAAUCACAGCAAAUUAUUAUCAUAAUAUGGUGAUUUUGAAUCCAAAACUUGGUAGUGUCAAGAAAAUAGACCCAUGUUUAUUUAUCUUCAUGUUUUGUAUGCGCCUGCAAUAGACUAUUAUAAGUUACUUUUAGUUUUGUCAAUUUUUUUUCCCUUAAAUGUCAGUUAUUUCAGCGGUUUCUUUUAACUGAGUUAAUAGUGUUGUUAGGUUAAACUAAGUUUGGCUUCAUAAGCUUCAUAGUAGAGUGUAGAAUUGGGUAUAAUUUUGGAUUAGACAAGUCAAAGGUCUUAUCAAGUAAUUGUUCUGCUUACUGAUUUGGUAAUUGCAACAUUGCUAAAUAGUUCAAUUUGUCCUUUUUAUUUUGUUGAAUUUAUUGUAUGUCAUAUUACUUAAUUUAAUUAUUUUCUCAGAUCUUGUAGGUGAAAAUUUCAGCUUCAAAGACCAAAGCUAAUCAUCCAGCAAUUCAGUGAAGAAACCAAGACACAGUGGCUCAUAAAUUGUUGUUGGUGAUCCCAGCCAUUCGGGUGCUCGCCAGUCCUAGAUGAGAAACCUUUCAACGCGGCGCAUAAAUUGUUGUAGAGCUGCUUUAUAUAUUUUGACCUUUGUGAUUUGUGAAUACAUGGUUUGAUUCCAGUGUUUACAACUUUGAAAUUCAAUUAAAAGUUGAGCUGUCAUUGAUUGAUGACAAGAUUGUGUUGUAUAACUUGAGAAGCAAAUGAAACAAACAGGAAAUAUGUUUUUUUAUUUUUUUAAUCUAUCUAUCUAUUUAUUUUUUGUUUGGAAAUGUUACAAUUUAUAGCUGGCAAAGUAAUAGAGUUGUAUACUUGUAUUUAAUUUAUUAUUAUUAUUAUUAUUUUAAUGACUCGGUAAUGUCAUUGUCCGUGGUGUUUUGUCAUUUCGAAAGUACUUAACCCUUCCACGCUAAGGCACAUUACCGCAGCCGAAACUUUGAGCUUUCAGUUCUUGAUUUUAGCGUGAGGGGUAUCUUUGUCUUUUCAGUAGUCAACACACGGUCAACAAAACAGUGUACAAACAAUCGACCUGUGAACUUGGGUCAAAGCUUUCAUCUUUAAAUCACAUAGGUAGAUCAUGAUUCAAGCUUCAGUUAUAAGCCUUUCAUUGUGAUUGAGGUAAUUGUGUUUCACUGCUAUUUGUAUUGCUUAAAUUUAUGCUUCUUGGUAUAGUUUUAACAUAUAUGGGAUUGAAAUCAAUUUCAGUUGUGAAGCAACUCCGGUGGUUCCCAAUAUUAGGCAUUGUAGUAGAUCCAAAAUUAGCUUGUUAAGAAGUGUAGAUACCGUAGAGCCCAAAACUCCGUCUUAUCUUGCAAGAGUCUGUUGUUUUAUUUUGAAAGAGACAAAAGUGAUGAUGAUGGGCAGCGAACUCUAGGAAUCAAUGCUUGCUGACACUGACCCCCAAGAAUCAAUGAGUCUGAAUUUGAUAAGUGCACCUAUCCUAUCACAAAAGCUUUUGCGUUGAGUUUCUAACCAAUUUUCAUUUGGGUAGGUGUCAGUUCAUGCUCUGGCUUGACUGUUCUGUUAUUUAGGUUGUUUUAUCCGUAUUUUCUUCACUCACUUGAUGGUUAGUUCUCUCAUGCUUUCAAGCUCUCAACAGUGAAUGCGAGAGAUUCUAUUUUUCCCGUCCAGUCUAUAACCUAGCAAAUCAUUAAUGCUGUAGAAUAGCAUCUUGUGUAGCCGAGUUUAUGUCUCUGAACAUUGGUCCAUCGGCAUUUAGGUUCAAUAAGCAUCUUGAAUUUUGAAUAUAUUAUUCUGAAUCAAAACCCUAUCUGUCCGUGUAGCAUUUUUUAUAUGCUUUACGAUGUUUACCAAUAAUUACCCACUAUGGGGUAUUUGAAUUUUGAAUAUAUUAUUCUGAAUCAAAACUCUAUCUGUCCGUGUAGCUUUGGCUUCUGAACUUGGUUGAGAAGGCUCUUGUGGAAGAUGUAAUCCCAAUUCUCGUGGCUGCCUUGCAUUGCCAACUGAACCACCUCCGUUCUUUCUGCAUCCAGAGAAUUGCAAAGUCAAAUCUUGACAAUGUUUGUCUCGAGAAAGAGCUUCCUGAUGAAGUUUCAAGUGAAAUCAAAUCACUCCGUGUCAAAUCUAACCAGGAGUCUGAAGCUAAUAUAGCAGAAGUGGAUCCUAUGCAUGCAAAAAUAGUCAGAAGAAUCCACAAGGCGCUGGACUCUGAUGACGUUGAACUGUUGAAGCUUCUUCUGGAUGUAUCUAGUGUCACUCUGGAUGAUGCUUACGCUCUGCACUAUGCUGCUGCCUACUGCAACCCUAAGGUUUUUAAGGAAGUGCUCAAUAUGGGCUCGGCUGGUCUCAAUCUUAAGGAUGCAAGAGGACAGACGGUCCUUCAUGUGGCUGCAAGGCGUAAUGAGCCAGAAGUGAUGGUGACUCUGCUGAGCAAGGGAGCAUGCGCAUCAGAAACUACAUCAGAUGGGCAAACAGCUGUAGCAAUCUGUCGGAGAAUGACAAGGCUAAAGGAUUAUCUUGAAGCUACAAAGCAGGGGCAGGGAACUAACAAAGACCGGUUAUGCAUUGAUGUCCUUGAGAGAGAGAUGAGAAGGAACUCCAUGUCUGAGAACUUGGCAAUGCCAUCAGAGGUGAUGGAUGAUCAUUUCCAAGCGAAGCUGGACUAUCUAGAAAAUACAGGUGAUAUUUCUUUACUGGUAUUAG